UGGUGGAAAAAGAAAGGAAUAGAGGGAAAUGCAGUUGGGAUUGUAGGGACUGAAGGAAUGCUUUGUAGAGGGGGAAGUCCUCUUGGCAAUGUGGUAGGAAGUGGAGGAAACGCCCCAGGGUUUGGGAAAUUAUGGAAAUAUAGAAAUGGUGGAAAAGAGAAAGGAAUUGGGGGAAUUGUAAUUGGGAUUGUGUGGACUGAGGGAAUGCUUGGUAGAGGGGGCAGUCUUGUUCGCAAUGUGGUAGGAAGUGGAGGAAAUGCCCCAGGCCAUAGGAAUGAUGGCCGGGAUGGCGUUGGGAGAUUAAGGAAAGAUGGCAAACUUUGCGUUUGAGGCUGUUAUAGAAGGUGAGGAGCUGCUACCCCAACAUUGUUAGGAUCGAUCCAAUUAAGCAACAAGUAACAAAAAAUAGUGGAAUAAAUUGAGAAAUUGAACACACAAAUUUAACGUGGAAAAACCCCUCCAAAGAGGAUAAAAAACCACGGGUAAAGGUAAUUUUACUAUAAUGGCCAAAGAACGAAGAGUACAAAAGAUGGAGAUAAAAAACUAAACCCCGAAAAACCCGAAAAAAAGGAACCCUCAAAACAUAAAAACAAAAUUCUCUAAAUGUGUUAUGAGUUCUAAUCUCUAAUUGGUGUAUUUUCUAAGGUUGUAAAAGAACCUAUUUAUAGGCUAAAUUAGUAAGUCAAAUAAACUAUGCUAAUAAAUGCUAAAUAUAUUAUACUAAUAAAUACUAAAUCUUCUAGAAAGAAAAUAUAUUUUAUUUAACUUAACUUGCAAGCAAUCUCUUAGAAUUUGGGUCACACAACUCUAACAAUCUCCACAUUGACACAAAUUCUUACAACGCUAUCUUUGCCAAAGCCCGCCACGAGCCUAUCUUGAACUAUGUAGGGAAUUAACUGAGUCGAAUCUGUGCUAAGAUGUUGGAAGACUUCUAGCCUUCGACUUGUGCAGUUCCAAAUCAAAACUAGCCCUGGUCUAAUUUUUACGAACACAGUGCCCUAACUUUUCAAAAACUGCAUCCAAAAGAGAACCUCUCUCCAACGAAACGGUCAUACCUUUUUCCCUCCUAUGACCAAGUUGCCUCCGCUCCAAAAGAGUUGACUUCGACUCCGUAACGGACGAGGGACGUCUGAUUUUACCAGUCACUGUAGAACCUUCCAGAAUAUAAAGACUGCCAGUUUUUUUACCUUUUAACAAAACAAGAGCUCCACGAGGUACUUUAAUGUCACUCGACUCAAUGUUGAUUCUGUAUCCUUUCAAGUCUAAAAUAUUCAAGGAGAUGAAAUUCUUUCGUAAAUCAGGUACAUACCUGACAUUUGAGAGUGUCCUAAUCGUCCCAUCGUGUAUCCUAAUUUUAAUAGUACCAAUACCAAUUACCUUACUAGAUGAAUCGUUUCCCAUGCAAACAACUCCACCUUCAGCCGAACUAUAUGUGGAGAACUAUUCUCUAUUGGGACACAUGUGGAAAGAACAUCCCAAAUCUAGGAUCCACUCGAACGUGAGCUUGGAAUUAUUGAUCGUUGACACUAACAAGAAAUCAUCACCGCUUUCAUCAGCCAAAUUAGCACCAUCUACAUAUUCCUCGUUACUCUGAGUAGCUAUUUUAUUUCACAGUUUAUAACAAUCUGCUUUGACGUGACCUAACUUUUUUUACAAUAACGACACCUUUUGUCUCAUUUCUUUGAUGCUACCAAAACAGAAGCUUGCCUAUCUGCCUUACUAUCCAAACCAAACUCAUUGUCAAGUUUUUCUCUACUUAACAAAUGACCCUUCACAUCUUCGAACGAGAGUUUGUCUCUGCCAUAAAUCAGGGUCUCCCUGAAAGACUUGUAUGAAGGGGAUAAAGAGCACAAUAAUAGCAUAGCUUGAUUUUCAUCGUCGAUAUGAACCUUAACAAUCAUUAAAUCAUUUAAAAGAGUAAUAAAUUGACUGAUGUGAUCUCUAAGAAACUCACCUUUGUUCAUGCGAAACGUGAAUAGACGUUGUUCCAACACUAAACGGUUAGCCAAAGACUUAGUCGCAUAAAGAGUUUCUAACCUUUUCGAUAAGUAGAUGAGGUCUUCUCCAUCAAUACCUCUUAUAAUACCGUAUUCGUGAGGCACAACUGGAUUGUAUAUAAGGCCUUUUCAUCAAGCUCUUCCCAUACUAUUUGAUUUAGAUUCUCAGGUUUUUUCUCGGUAAGAACCUUUUUCAAUCCGGUUUGAACUAGAAUUACCAUAAUUCAAACUUGCCACAGAUUAAAAUUUGUCUCACCAUCAAACUUCUCAAUUUCAAACCUUGUUGCUAUCAUCUUUGAAUAGGCUGAUCUAUAAAAAUUACAGUAGCUUUGAUACCACUUGUUAGGAUCGACCCGAUUAAGCAACAACUAAUAAAAAAUAUAAAAAUAAAUUGAUAAAUUGAACACACAAAUUUAACGUGGAAAAACCCCUCCAAAGAGGAUAAAAAACCAAGGGCAAAGAUAUUUUACUAUAAUGGCAAAAGAACGAAGAGUACAAAAGAUGGAGAUAAAAAACUAAACCCCAAAAAACCUGAAAACAAAGAACCCUCAAAACGUAAACACAAAAUUCUCUAAAUGUGUUAUGAGUUCUAAUCUCUAAUGGGUGUAUUUGUAACACUGGGGUUUGUGCAAGUGUACACAGUCGUUAUCAAGUAAUAAGUAAGUAUCGAGUUAUCGUCUCCACAGGGAAUGUAUGUGUGUCGAGUCACUUAAUUUGUAAAAUUAUAUUAACAAUUUGAAAAACUAAAAACAAAAUAUAGUUGAGAAGUGGUAUAAAAUAGAUGUAAUGAUCCCUAAUGUAAAUUAUCCAAAUAUGCAGACUAUAUGAAUGAAAUAGAUUUUAGCAAAAUUUAACACAUGCAACAAUUAUAACAUAACUGAACUAGGACAAUUACUUUAAUUAAACUUAAUUUAUUAUCAUCACGCUUAAUAAUAUUCGAAAAAACAUUCCAUGGCAACUCGAUCUUUCAUGAGUUUGGAAACCAAAUUAGGUCCUUUUGGAAUCCUUUACUCAGUAAAUACGCAUUUUACUGAUUCCUAUUUACUAAGGGUUUCUUAGCAUUCGUGUGAGGUAACAGGGACGUGUUAGGUUUGAAACAAUUUAAUCACACAAAUCUAAAAACUAUGCAGAUAACAGAGCCUAGUUAGAGUUGUUAUGCAACCUACAAUUUAAUCGGGUUAGGAUCUAAAUUGAGCAUGCACAUUUCAAUUAUGCGUCCAUUAGCCGUCGCCUGGUUAGGAUCGCUCAGCUAAUUCAGGUGCAUUUCAAUCAUGUAUGAACGAAAUACAGACUUGAUUUUAAUUGAAAACAUGAUCGAUUGAGGCACAAACAUUAUAAGCAUGAAUCAAAUAAAUAUUAUUUAAUCAAAAUAAUCAUCCUAGCUUAAAUAAAAUUAAGCCAUCAUUGUUGUAAAGAAGAACAAAGAACACAUAGCAAACAUCUUUAUAUUAAAUUAAAGAAAAGAAAGAUUAAACCCAAUUUAGAGUGGCUAUCACCCAAGACUCUGACUGACGAGACUCCUUCUCUUCUUUGCGUUGCUCCUUUGCUGAUGGUUCUCCAAUGUGGCCAACCAAGGGCUUUUUAAGAGGCUAAUUUGCUAAAAUCCUUAUGCAAGGAUGAUGAUAGGCAUGAGAGCUAAGAGAGUUGAGAGAGAGGAUGAGAGAUGUGAGAGAUGAUGAGAUGAGGGAUGAGGGAUGAUGAGAAAUGAGCUCUUAUUUAUAGGUGAGGCAAGGGAGCUAGUUUGCUAAAAUUAGGAGUGUCCAUCCUUUGAAACCUCCUCCAAGAAUGGUUGGCCAUGAAUUGAGGAAAUGUGGCUGAUUUUUCCUUUAUUUUUGGUCAAUUUUAAUGCCACAACAACUCAGGACUAAGACUCGAUCUCCAACAAAUCUUCAGGUAAAUCUCUAAUUUCUUCAACUCUUCAAAGGCCUUGUAUAAUUAAACCGAAAAUUGGUUUAUAAUCAGCCAUGUGCAGCCAAAAAUUGGGUUGACUUGGUCCUCACUUUCUACGGUUUUGCAAUUAGAAGAAAACUCUCAGACCUAUCAAAAAUAACUACUUUAUUUAAUCAAUUUACUUAAUUAAUUAAACCCAAUUUUAUUAAUGAAAUAUUUACAAUGAAUUAUUAAAAUAUAACAUUAUAUUUUAUUAUUUAAUUUAAUCAUGCGUGGCCCACUUCAUAGCUUAAAAAUAUAAUAUGCUUAAAUUAAUAUAAAAUAAGUCAUUUUAUGCAUGAAAACUAUAUAAUAAAACAUAAAAUCACAUUUUAAUAAUUUCUAUGUCCUAAUUUCAUAUUUUCACAUAUUUCAUUAAUUUAUUAAACAAUUACUUGGUUUUAACAACAAUUUUAAGUAAAAAGGUGAUGAAUUAUAUAGGAAAAAUCCUAUAUAUUUUUCCAUUUAUACCUCCCAAACUCAAAUCAUUGCUCGUCCCGAGUAAUGUUCAUGCACAACACAAGGUCUUGCUAAGGCAAAUUUUGCUAAGAGUGUUAGUAGCAUCAAUCUUUGUCUCAUAAUCAUGCAUCAACAAAUUCAUGCUCAUAGAUCGUCUUUAUUAGCAAGUAACUCAUAUACAAACAUUUUGAAAAUUUUAUUCUAGGUUUCAAGAUAUGGCAACAUGAAUAAUAGUUUGCAUGUAUGUCAUAGCCAUAGAUAAUAUUCUUCAUUCAACACAAUUUAUCAUGAAUCAAGCAAACAAUCAUAAGGCUUAUUUAUGAUCUUCAUAUGUUGAACUUAAUACUUCCUCUCCACUAAUGUAGGUGACAUAAUCAUCAAAUCAAUUGGUCUUUUAUAAGGUUCUAAUGGGGCUUGGUUUAAAGGUAGGGAUUUUAAGAGAUGAGACAUUUCGGUUUCAAAAAUCUUAACCUUUAACUUGUCUUGGAUUUCUUGAAAUUCAACCUUUUUCUUCAAGUGAACCUUUGGAACACCCCCAAACUUAUUUUGAACUCAAGCUCGUACAUUUUCCUUUUUAAAGACUAGGCGAACUUUUCUUCGCUCUUUCCUUGUCUUUGUGAUUUUUUAAGCAUGAGCACAUACAUCUUUAUGAAAAUUUCCUCAAAUGUUGAUUCCCAAGACACUUAAGUUAAAAUAGGUGCACAAAAUAGGAUAAUUUUAAAAAGAUGGUAACCGGCUUAUAAUGUAGGUUCAUUUCAAAAACAGGCCUUAAAGCUCAAAAUUGUAGUUUCAAGGGUCUAAUAUCAUAAGGUGGGCUUGAAAAGGCUCAAACGAUCCAAAGAAAAAUGGUGUUUAUAUCAUUUUAGAUUUUUAUGUCCCCUAGAAUUUCGCCUCAAGAAAGUUACUAAGUCAAUUCUAAAGAUAUAAACCUUCAUGCAUGUUUGAUCUCAAGAGAAGCUAAGUUUUCACGGCAAACAUUACCUAAGACUAAGAUCAUAAAAACAUUCCAUUCUUCACGAUAACAUACAAUCACUCAGAUAAAAUCAUCAUUCAUACUUGCAUACAAGAUAUCUUAUUAAAAAGAAUUUCUCUAAACAUUCAUUUAUUAAAACAUACUUAUGAAAGAAAUGAUUGAAACAUACUUGAAAAUUUUAAAAUUUAAGCAAUUUAUUUGCGUAACCCCCCUUUAAAAAGAAGCAAUGUCCUCAUUGCAAGAACAAAGUAUGAAUGAAACCUGAACACCAGGUAGGGUUGUCAAAACCAUUUUUUAUUUGAUUAACAAAAAUUUAGUAGUCGACUUAAAAAUAAAAAUUGGAGUCGCCACCGAUCUUUUAUUAAGGUGUGAUCGGCUCACCUUAAAAAUGGUUUUGGUCUGCAGAAUUUGAGAAAAUAGGUUCGGGACUCGGUUACAUACGAGGAAGUGUUAGCACCCUCGUAACACCCAAAAUUGGUACCGAAUUGAUUAAUUAAUGUCUUAAUGCCGAAUGUUUGAAAAGAUUUUAAAAUAUGAUCCUUUGAAAAGAAAAUUUGAAUAAAAUUAAUUGGAUGAUGAGACUCACUUAUUUCAAAGAAAUAAAUUGUCACACUCAGUAAGUUAGAGUGCAACAUCUUAAGUCCUCAAAAUUAAGUUUAUUUUUUUGACUUUUAAAACCUAUGCAUUUUGAGAAGGAUAUCUGAUUAUUUGGGUCAAAUGAAGAGAUCAAAACCCAGUAAGUUAGGGUUCAAUUUCUCAAAAUUCCAAAUACAGAAUAUUGCCUUUAUUUUUAGAAGAAUCCUCAUCUCGAGGAAACAACAUGUCAUACCCAAUGCGUUAGGGCACAACGUAUCAAAUUCCAGAGAAUGAGCUUUUUUAUUUAUGUUUUAAUUAAAGAGGAUAUUCGGUUUCCUAGAUCCCGAGGAAGAUUGGAAUCCAAUAAGUUAGGACACAAUCCUUUCGAGGAUCCCAAAUUCUGAGUGUCGCGUUGUCUUGAAAGACUUUUGUAUAAAUGAUUUUGAUAUUUAAACGAUAUUAGACGUAAUCUUUAAUGUAACGCGAUUGAAUGGUAAAGUAUGAGAUACUUUGUAAUCCGAAGACACACUAAAAAAUAAUGACCAAGCAAUAGAUAAAUGUUAACAAGAAUAGCAACAAUAAUUUUAAUCCUAUUAUACAAACAUCAAUAUUAACAAUUAAACAUCAAACGAAUUAAUAAUCGAUUUUAAAACGUAUACUAAGAAAACAGUGGCAAUAAGAGAAAUCACAAUCAAUAAAUUAUACAUGCCAAAGUCUUGAAAUGAACAAUAUAUAUAUAUAUAUACCAAUACAUAAUAUUUUUCUUUUAAAAUAAUGCCUAAUAAAUCUGAAAUGAUAAUACAUAAUAAAUUUAAAAAUAAAUAUAUAAUAAAGCUAAGCUAAUAAUACAUAAAAAUUUAUGAUGUUAAUAAUAUAUUGAAAUUUAAAAAUAAUACAUAAUGAAAUUUAACGCUAAUAAAUACGAUUGUAAUAUAUAUGAAAAAAAAUUCAAGUGUAGUACAUAAAGUAAUAUGUACAUAUAUAUAUAUAAAUAGAUAAAUAAAAUAUAAAUAACGUAAUUACAAUAUCAAUAAGGCUAGUGGAGACAAUGAUAAUAAUAAUAAAGAAGAUUAAACUAAUUAAUAAAAAAAACAAAUAACGAAGAGGAUUCAGUUGAGUUUUAAACAAAAUUACAAGGAAAAAAAUGAGAAUAAAACAAAACAGAGGGCCAAAAUAUAAUGCGCGAAUUACUUGGGGGACCAAGUAGGAAAUACUCCCUUCCCUCAAAACGCGGCGUUUAGAUCAAGACUGAAUUGAAACAAAUUCAAAAUUCAUGAAAGUAAUUUACAAAAAAAAAUGCAAUUAAAAUGAUGGAGUAAAAUGGAGGGAUCGAAGGCGCAAAUAGACCACACAACAAAAAUGCAUGGAUCCUCCCCGGGUCGGGUCACCGUGCUAACCAUAAACCACCAAACGGCGUCGUUUUGGAGCCAUUGGAACCGGGCUUAAACGACGUCGUUUUUUUAGACUAGAUAAAGAUCACUUCAAACCCUAAAUCAUAAACCCCAUGCCAUUUUCAAAACUCACGCCGCAAAACCUAUGUCUCUCUUCGUCGUUCGAACCCCUUCGACUCUGAUUUAGACGAAAUGAAUAGGAACUCCGACGACUCCUCCAAUGGCAAGAUCCUUUCACUUUCUCUCUUUUUGGAUUUCGUAGAGGAACAAAAAUAAUUUGCAUUAUAUCAAAAAAUGAAAUCUGCCAUUACUCUUUUAAAAAUCAAUCUAUUAUUAUUUUUUUGUUCAUAAUAAAAAAAAUCAAAGAAAUAAAAGAAGAAGAGGAAAAAAAAGGAAAACGGAGAAUCACCUUCAAAAAAAUUUACUUUUUUUCUUUUUGUAUUGAUAUCGUGUGUGUAAAAAAAUAAAAAGGUUCUUCCUUUUCUUUUAUAGCCGAGAGAAAAAGAAAGAGAAUAAAAUAAAAAUAAAACAUAUCCAUUUUCUUUCUGUUGUAUUGUUUUCGUCCCAUUUGUAGGCGUACGGAGGCUCGUCACACGCGAGGGGCUUGGCUGCGGCGCCUGGAUCUUCUAGGGUUUCCGUGUGUUGUUUAAUGUUUUGGGCUCAUUUGGGAUUUGGGUAGAAUUAGAUGUUGGACCUUAAUUGUUUGGGCUAAUUUCUGCCUAGGAUUUCACGGAACAAGAUAUUUUGCAAGUCUAGUCCCUGAGGAUUUGACCCUACUUCCCUUUUACUAUUCUUUUUCAUUAUUUAUUAGGGAUAGGAUAUUUUUGGUGCUUCCAAUGACCGCAUCAAAUUUUAGCGCCGUUGCCGGGGACUGGCAACAUAUUAAUCUUGUUGUUUGUUUCUUAUGGCCAGAUCUGCUCCAGGUACUCUUGAGUUCGAUUCAAAAAUUGAGAAGACUGCUAGAGCCAAUCACAAGGAGAAAAGUUACAGAAAAAGCAGUCAGCGGUGGUUGGAACUCAAAGUAACCCACCGCCAGAAAUAGAAGUCGACGACGAAGCUGAGUCUAGGGUUAACGAAAACCCUACUCGAACACUUGAGAGCGAAAAAGUAGAAGUUGACUCACCAGAACAAGUGCUUAACGCUAGGGUUAACAAAAACCCAAAUCUAGCACACCAACCAAUGGCUCAAACGAUUCGGCAACUGGCCGAAGCUCCGACAGAACAAUCGCCAUUGUGCAUCGCAUAUCCUACUAUGGAUACUGAUUUUGAGUUGAAGAUAGGUUUAAUCCAGUUAUUGCCAACUUUUCGUGGGUUACAAAAUGAAAAUCCCCACAAGCAUCUGAAAGAAUUUCAUUUGGUUUGUCUUAGCAUGAAACCUCAGGGGGUAACUGAGGAUCAGAUUAAAUUGCGUGCUUUCCCUUUCUCCCUAGCAGAUUCUGCUAAGGAAUGGUUAUUUUAUUUACCCCAUAGAUCUAUUACAACUUGGGCUGAUGAACAGGAUUUUUCCAGCGUCACGAGCAGCUGAGCUAAGAAGAGAGAUCAUUGGAAUAAGGCAAAAAGAAGCUGAAUCCCUUUACGAUUAUUGGGAGCGGUUUAAGAAGUUGUGUGCAAGCUACCCACAACAUGGUAUAACGGAGCAAUCUCUCCUCCAAUACUUUUACGAAGGUUUGAAGCCCAUGGAGAUGAAUAUGGUAGAUGCUGCUAGUGGAGGAGCAUUGGUCAACAUGACUCCCGAACAAGCGAGAGACUUGACCUCCACGAUGGCUGCAAAUUCUCACCAGUUUCGAGCUAAUACUGAACCCCCUAGAAGGGUUCACCAGCUAAGUAAUUCAACCUUAGAGGAUAAAGUUGAUAGACUUACUAAUAUGAUGAACUCUCUUAUUGCAGAAAAAGCGAAGACAACUCAGUUAUGCGGAAUAUCUGCUACACUUGAUUAUGCAACUGAUGCAUGUCCCAGUUUGUAUGAUGAUACCAUAGCCCAUCUGGAUGUUGUGGGAAAUUUCCCUGGGCCGCCACAAAGGCAGUACGACCCCUACGCUAAUACCUACAACCCAGGGUGGAGGGACCAUCCUAACUUAAGCUACGGGGCCAAUCCACGAAACAACCAGCCAUACCAAAAUCGGUUUCCGCAACAACCACAAGGUUCAGGUAAUUUUCUAAAAACCAUGGUCAAUAAGUUAGCAGCUAAUGUUCUUGAUUUUCAACAGCAAAAUCUUAAUUUCCAAAAAGAGACGAAGGAUUUCCAACAGAAAACUGAGGCGUCCAUCAGAGAGUUGACCACAUUAAUCGAGGAAUUGACCUCUCAAGGGAAGCUGCCGUCACAAACAGAACUAAACCCUAGACAAAAUGCAAAUGCAGUGAUGUUGCGAAGUGAAAAGGUACUGGAACCAAUUCCUGAUAGGAAUCUUGCCCAAGAAAUAGCCGAGGAAAAACCCGAAAAAGAUGAACAGGUUCGACCGAAGCCUCCAUUGCCUAAAAUUCAACCUCCAUUUCCAGAGCGAUUCAACUAGUGUCGAAAAGGUAAAGAGGACAAGGAAAUUCUUGAAACAUUUAGGAAUGUCGAGAUCAAUAUUCCGCUGUUGGACGCCAUCAAGCAAAUACCGCGGUAUGCUAAAUUUCUUAAAGAGCUUUGCACCAAAAAAUGAAAAUUAACAGGUAAUGAAAGGGUGAAUGUUGUUGAGAAUGUAUCCGCAGUGUUACAGCGGAAAAUGCCGGCAAAAUGCAAGGAUAGGGGCAUGUUUGUAAUACCAUGCAAAAUAGGCCAUCUGGGAAUUAAGAAGGCUAUGUGUGAUCUAGGGGCCUCUAUAAAUGUAAUGCCAUAUUCUAUUUAUGAAUCACUUAACGCGGGUUUUUUGACAAAAAAAGGUGUUAUCAUUCAAUUAGCAGACAGGUCUGUUGUGCAUUCAGAAGGAGUCCUUGAGGAUGUUCUGGUAAAAGUUAACGAGCUUAUUUUCCCUGCAGAUUUUUAUGUGAUCAAAAUGGAGGAGGAUAGCACUCCUGGAUCUUCAGAUCUCCUGUUGGGUUGACCGUUCCUUAGUACAGCUAGUACUAAAAUUGAUGUUCGAAGUGGAACUCUCACGAUGGAGUUUGAUGGGGAGAUCGUAAAGUUUAAUGUCUACGACGCCAUUAGCCAUCCAAGCGAAAUUUUGAGUGUAAAUCGUAUCGACAUAAUUGACUCUUUGGUGGAAGAGAAUUUUGAGUCAAUUUAUGGAGAUAAUUCUGAACUUGAUGAAAUUGAAUUUGUUAAUGAACUAUUAUCUCCAAAUACUAAACUGUUACCUUCCGUUAUACAGGCGCCAGAGUUGGAGUUGAAACCGCUUCCUGAGCAUCUGAAAUAUGUAUUUUUGGGGAAGGGUAAUACCCUAUUAGUCAUAAUCUCCAAUAGACUCUCCACACAUGAAGAGGAAAGUUUGGUUCAUAUAUUAAAAAGUCAUAAGGAGGCGAUCAGUUGGACCAUUGCAGACUUAAAAGGGAUAAGCCCUUUGACGUGUACACACAGGAUCUAUUUGGAGGAAGACACGAAAUCAAGGCAAGAGGCACAAAGAUGGCUAAAUCUGAAUAUGAUGGAGGUAGUACAAAAAGAAAUAAUCAAGCUUCUGGACGCUGACGUAAUUUACCCUAUUUCUGACAGUAGGUGGGUAAGUCCAGUUCAAGUCGUGCCCAAGAAAACGGGCGUGACAGUAAAGAAAAUGCUGAAGGUGACUUGGUACCUACCCGAGUACAAAAUGGGUGGCGCGUCUGCAUUGAUUACAGGAAGUUGAACUCAUACACUAGAAAAGAUCAUUUCCCUCUUCCUUUUAUAGAUCAAAUGCUUGAAAGAUUAGCCGAAAAAACUCACUUUUGUUGUCUUGAUGGAUACUCAGGUUUCUUUCAAAUUCCAGUCACACCGGAGGACCAAGAAAAGACCACUUUUACAUGCCCAUUCAGUACAUUUGCAUACAGAAGGAUGCCAUUCGGUCUUUGCAAUGCACCGGCCACCUUCCAAAUAUGCAUGAUAAGUAUAUUUUCUGAAUAUGUAGAAAAAAUUAUCGAAGUCUUUAUGGAUGAUUUUACUGUAUAUGGGAGUUGUUUUGAUGAAUGCCUUAAAAACCUAACGAUAAUUUUGAGUAGGUGCAUAGAAUUUAAUCUUGUCUUGAAUUAUGAAAAGUGUCAUUUUAUGGUAGACAAGGGUUUAAUUCUGGGUCAUGUUAUUUCAUCUAAAGGAAUUGAGGUCGAUAAGGCCAAAAUUGAUAUUAUAAAUUCUUUGCCUUAUCCCUCCACUGUGAGGGAAGUUCGUUCUUUCCUUGGCCAUGCAGGGUUUUACAAGCGCUUCAUAAAAAACUUCUCGAAGGUAGUUGAACCACUGUGUAAGUUGUUGCAGAAGGAUAAGAAAUUUGAGUUUGACCUAAAAUGUAAGGAGGCAUUUGAUACACUCAAGCAAAAGUUAGUCUCCGCUCCUAUAGUGCAACCACCAGAUUGGAAAUACCCAUUUGAAAUUAUGUACGAUGCCAGCGAGCGCAGUGUAGGAGCUGUGUUGGGGCAAAGGAUAGACAAAGAACCACAUGUCAUAUGUUAUGCCUCGAAAACCCUAGAUGUUGCCGGAGCAACUACACCACUAUGGAAAAAGAACUCUUAGCCGUUGUAUUUCCUUUAGAUAAAUUUCGGCCUUAUUUAUUGGGAUCUAAACUAAUUAUUUUUUCUGAUCAUGCAGCCCUCAGGUACUUGAUCUCGAAGAAAGAAGCAAAAUCGAGGCAUAUUAGGUGGAUUUUACUACUCCAAUAAUUUGACAUUGAGAUUCGAGACAAAAGGGGAUGCAAAAAUUUAGUGGCUGACCACUUAAGCAGAAUAAAAGUACCUUUUGACGACAUCCCUAUUAAGGAAGAAUUCCCUGAUGAGAGCCUAUUCUCGACUGAGGCACGUCUCCCAUGGUAUGCAAAUAUAGUAAACUUUCUAGCCACAGGAUCAUUACCCACUGAGUUAGCACGCUCUGUGAGAGACAAGCUUAGACGCGAUGCUCGAUAUUAUAUUUGGGAUGACCCAUACUUGUGGAAACACUGUUCAGACCAGAUAAUACGAAGAUGUGUUCCAGAAACUGAGGUAACUUCUAUCCAUAAUUUUUGUCAUGCUGAAGCUUGCGGAGGUCAUUUUGGCCCUAAGCGGACCGCUCAUAAGGUGUUAGAAUGUGGGUUAUAUUGGCCCACAAUUUUUCGAGACGCAUAUAACUUCUGUAAGUCUUGCGAUAGGUGCCGACAUACAGGUAACAUCACUCCCAUUUCUUUCUUCAUUUGGUAAUGUAUAUAUAAUUAUUGCAGUAGACUAUGUUUCUAAGUGGAUAGAAGCAAAGCCUACUCACAAUGAUAAUGCCAAAACUGCUAUGAAGUUUUUAAAGCAAACUAUUUUUUCCAGGUUUGGCACACCUCGAGCCCUAAUUAGUGAUCGUGGCACCCACAUUUGUAAUAAGGUCAUGGAGGAACUGUUGGCAAAAUACGGAGUCCACCAUCGUAUAGCUACGGCUUACCAUCCCCAAACGAAUGCUCAAGUUGAGGUCUCAAACAGGGAAAUCAAGACUAUUUUGGAGAAAACAGUUCGUCCUAACCGAAAGGAUUGGAGCCUUCGACUAAAUGACGCACUUUGGGCCUAUCGAACUGUGUAUAAGGGACCGAUUGGUAUGACCCCGUAUCGACUUGUUUUUGGUAAAGCUUGCCACCUUCUGGUCGAAUUGGAACAUAAAGCCUAUUGGGCCAUUCGACAGUGUAACAUGGAGUUAGAACCAGCAGAAAAUGCAAGGAAAUUAGACAUCCAAGAGUUAGAAGAAAUUCGCAAUGAUGCCUAUGAAAAUGCUCACAUUUAUAAAGACAAAACAAAGUUGUUUCAGGAUAAGAGAAUAGCUCAGAAGCAUUUUUCGGUAGGACAAAAAGUUUUACUUUAUAAUUCCGUGUUAAAGUUAUUCCUAGGUAAGCUUCGAUCACGAUGGCAAGGACCUUUUAUUGUUACUAAAGUGUUCACAGAUGGAGCAGUUGAAAUAGAGAGUGAAGAAUCUGGAAAGCGGUUCGUAGUCAAUGGCCAGCGGUUGAAGCCGUUUUAUGAGAAUUUUCAAGCCCACACGAUUGAGACAAUCCAUUUGGAACCACCAUAGAACCAAUAACGGCGUCGAGCUAACGACAUUAAACAAGCGCUUGUUGGGAGGCAACCCAAUUUUUAUUUUUAUUUUUAUUUAUUUUUUUCUUUACUUUAUUUAUUACUUUAUUUUAUUUUAUUUUACUUAUUGGAUAUUAAUAAAUUUUUCUUCUUUUGCUUAGAUAAAACAUAGCGAAAAUGCGAAAAAAACCGUUGAGCAACGCUUAGAGCGCAUUGAGGCCCGACUUGAAACCUUUGGCCAGCAACUGACCAAGCUCAUUGCCAUCAUUUGCGAUCGACAGUAACAACACGGGGAUUUUUUCUAAACUUUUCUACCUAUUUAUUUCUUUUCGUCCACAUUGAGGACAAUGUGCUUUCAGUAGGGAGAGGUACUCUUCGUUAUUACUAUCAUUUUCUACUGUGAUUUUGGUUAUUAUUGCUGAUGUUACUGGUGUUGCUGCUUGAGACUUUAUUUUUUCCAUAUUUAUUUUUUUUGAAUCUCCUGCCUCUUUUCAUGCCCAAGAUUUUUACCAAGAAUUGCCUACUGUUUGACUUACAAGCAUGAUUCUUGUUUUCUGAGAAAAUUACGAGUUUUCCAUAAUUAAUGCCAUCUCCACUGUUUUAUUCUUAUCAGACUAAAAAUAAUUGUGAUUCAUAAAGUUAACUUUAUCUUGCUUUUCGUAAAAUUGAUCAAGUUUAAAUACAAAGUAGACACUUAAUAUGUUUGCAUGCUAAAAUAUGUUGAUGACUAUUAAGGUAAUUAUUGAAACUUAUUUUUGACACUUGAUUAUUUUUUCUCUAAAGUCCUCAUAAAAAAGUUAUUAUUAAAAUGUUGUUUCCGUGGUUAUGAGUGCAGCUUAAAAACGUGACUGACUGAGUAACCGGGGUAGGGUGCUUGGGUUGUCAUCCUAUUUCGCGUCAAAAAGUUGUGUGACGUGUGAGGUAAAACUCCGCUAACUGGAAUUAAUUUUUAAGAACAUGUUGGGCUGAGUAACCGGGGUGGGGUGCUUGGCUGUCAUCUAUCUUCGCGUUAAAAGGUUUGAUGUGUUCAUAAGAAAAAUUAUAAUAAAUUAGGAGUUUGCUGGGCUGAGUAACCAGGGUGGGGUGCUUGGCUGUCAUCUCUCUUCGCGUCAAAAGGUUCAGUAUAUUCCUAAAGCAUAAAAAAAGAGAAAAAAACAAAAAGAAAAAAAAUAAUUUGGAGACUGAAGGACGAAACAAAAAGAGUGUCUUGGUAGGUUUGGUAAUUUACCUAAUUUUCAUUAAAUAAUUCAAGUUGAUUCUAAUUUUUGUGUGUAUUAAUUGGAAAACUUUUUCUGUUUUACUUAAAGCAAGCUUAGGGUUCUCUUUAUUUUUCAUAUGCAUUUUUGACUGAUUUUUAUAAAACUUUGGAGUUGUAUUUCUUUUAUGUCAGAAUCUAACUUUCACAGUAGAUAGGAACCAUACUUGAGGGCAAGCAUGGGCUAAGUAAGGGGGAUUUGAUAACACUCUAGAAUAACAUAUUUUUAUGUAUUAAUUAUGUAUUUAUUCUGAGUAUGAUCCUGCUAAUUUGAGCUAUUUAUGAUAUUUUAUCUCAUAGGGACUAAAUUUGAGGCAAAAGCAAAAUUAAGGGCCAAAAGCAUGAAUUUAGAGAAAAAACAGGCCAAUGUGCGACAUAAGGAAAAGUUGGUGCCAAAAGUGCAAGCAUGGAGGACACAAGGGUUGAAAUGCAAAAAGAAGAGAUUUUAUUCUAUUAAACUCUAUUUUAAUUAUAUUAGGAUAAUUAAUAUUGAGAUAAUUAUUAAGGAUUAUUUUUAGGAUUUUAUUUUAUCUUUAUUUAUCUUCAAUUAAACGUAUUUAUCUUUUAGGAAUUUAAGUAGGAUUAGAAUAUCUCCCUUAGCACUAUAAACAGGGGGUGAAGUGACUCAAAAGGGGAUCCCAGAUAUUUUUCUGAAAACACUCUCUCCCCAAAAGUUUAGGCUUUUGUUCUUCUCAUAUUUCUUUUUAAUAAAAUCUUUAUUUCUAUUUAUUUAUUUUCUUUUCUACCACAACCAUGAGCCACUAAACCCAUCUAGCUGAAGGUUGUCAAAAAUCUCCAAAAGGGUUCAUGAGGCUUAGAAUCCGUACUUAGCUUCCGUCCAUGUCCCUAAAGAAGUAAGCUUUUCAACAUAUGCAAAGGCGGCCGCUUUGUAUGUUUUGGGAAGGUUGCACAGUCGGUUCAUUAGCUUACUGCGUCAGAGGUUGGCGAGCCCAAGAGACAAAAUGGCGUGGGAUUCGCCAUUGAGAAGUGUUGAUCUAGCAUAAGACGAUCCCACAGAAGCGAUUGUUGGCUAGAGUCAAGUUCCACCACAUCGUAAGUCUAAGUCAUUGGAGCUGGUGGUCGUAGGCGUCCUCUUCCACUAUAACUGGCUUAUUCGGUUUGGGAAGGUUCAUCUAAAAGUCGAGGAUUGAACCCAAGGCAGAACGAGACAACUGGAGGCUGGAAUCUCCCAUAAGAAUUUCCUUUCUCUCAACUCUAUUUUUAAUUUCUCAAAUUUUCGAUUCAAUAUUCUUAAUUCUAUUUUUAUUUUAUUCUUCGUUUCCAGAUCCAAACAUUUAAUUCUGUUAUUUUUAAUUUUUUCAGGAACGCAGGUUGUCUUGGGCAAGACUCUUCCUAGGAUUCCACGGAACAAGAUAUUGUGCAAAUCCAGUCCCUGAGGAUUUGACCCUACUUCCCUUUUACUAUUCUUUUUCAUUAUUUAUUAGGGAUAGGAUAUUUUUGGUUCUUUCAACGACCGCAUCAGUGUUGUUUAGUGUUUUGGGCUCAUUUGGGGUUUGGGUAGAAUUAGAUGUUGGGCCUUAAUUGUUUGGGCUAAUUUUUGGACUGGUGUUUAGUGGGUUUGAGGUUUAAUGUAAUCCGGGCUUGGAUUUUAUUAAAUUUGUAAUACUGGACUGUAUUGGACUUUUAUUAUAUUUAUUUUAUAUAUAUAUUUUUAUAUUUGGGUUUUAAUACUUGGGUUCGGGUCGGGCAAAAUUUGGGUAUUACAGCUGCCUCUCUUUGCUCGUUAUCGUGUAACGAGAACGGAGCAAAGACUCUAGAAAUGGCCAAUUUUGCCCGGUCGUGUUGGACCUUGGCGCUCUUCUUCUUCGAGUUGCCUCAUUCCAUCCUACUGCAUCUUCAGAAGUAUAGGAAUUGGUGCAUCGAUCCACUCCACCGCAACGUCGGGGAGAUAGGAUUUGUAACUCGUAACUUUAAUCUGCUUAACUGUGAUGUUAGGGAAGCAAGACUCGCUAUUGUAACUUCAAUCUGUUCUAUUACACCACCAGAGAAGUAAGAUUUGCUAUUCUCAGUCUGCUACGCUGCAACUUCAGGGAGAUAAGACCUGAUGCGAUCCACUCUACUACAACUUUAGAGAGAUAAGAUCUAUUAUUUUAAUUCACUCCACUGCAACCUCAGGGAGAUAGGAUUAGUGGCUUCAAUCUACUCCAGUGUAACCUCAGGGAGGUAAAAUCAGCCACCUUUAGUCUGCCCCACUGCAACUUCAUGGGGAUAAGACCUACUUACUCAGUCUGCUCCACUACAACCUCAGGGAGAUAAGACUUGAUGCGAUCCACUUUACUACAACUUCAAAGAGAUAAGAUCUAUUAUUUUAAUCCGCUCCGCUGCAACUUCAGGGAGAUAGGAUUAAUGGCUUCAAUCUGCUCCACUGCAACCUCAAGGAGAUAAGAUUUGCCAUCUUCGAUCUGCUCCACUACUACUUAGGGAGAUAAGAUCUGUAAUUCUUGAACCUACUCCACUACUGCUUAGGGACAUAAAUCUUACAAUCUUCAACCUAUUUCACUGCUGUCCCGGGAUAUAGGAUUCACAAUCUUUAACCUACUCCACUGCUAUCCAGGGAGAUAGGAUUCACAAUCUUCAACCUACUCUACUGCUGUCCAGGGAGAUAGGAUUCACAAUCUUUAACCUACUCUACUGCUGUCCAGGGAGAUAGGAUUCACAAUCUUCAACCUAUUCCACUGCUGUCCAGGGAGAUAGGGCUGGGGUCAUCGAUCUACUUCGCUGUCGGUGUAGGAAGGCAAGAUCUGUUAUUUUCAACCUGCUCUGCUGCAACCCAGGGAGGCAAGGCUAGUGUCUUCAAUCUACAUCGCUGUCGGUGCAGAAAGGCGAGAUCUGCUAUUUUCACUGAUAUGUUCUCUGGGGAACAUGACUUGUAUAAUGAACCUAAUUAUGCCUAAUGAUUAGGACGGCAUGAUCAAAAUGAAUCAAAUGCUCCUAACUAGACAUGUGUGAAUGGUGUUUGCAUGAAUGCAGAAUUUUAUUUUUUCGAGAAUGAUCCUUCUUUAUCACUUAGGUUAUCAUUACUCAAAGUUGAUUAAAGCUUUAUCACUGACGUACUAUAACGCCUUCGCUCAGCCGGCAUCUCCAAAGGAACACUUAAUCAAAUUGCCCCCACUGUGAACUUCAAAGUUAAUUCCACUAGGACGCAAAAUUUAUACCAUCUUUCUCGCGCUGUGAACCAAGGGUAGAAAAAUCUGGUUUUUUCUCAAUCCUCUUCUAUCAUAAUUGAAAGCUAUAGAAUAUGAAACUCUUUGGUCCUUUACAUUAUGCCUAUGCACAAAUGAAGAAUUCUCUUCUCCAAGAAUAGCUUCCUCUUAUUAUUCAGUGAUCAUUGCUUGCUUGUUCAUGACAUCUCGUCAUUUUGUUCAAUCAUAUUUGACAACAACAUCCAAAGAGAAAGUCCUAAUUUAGACUCUUCCUUUUCAGAUUUCCAACCUUUAAACUUGGUACGUUCUAAACAUUAGUCCUGUUUCAGGCUCCUGUAUUAUUUAGAAACUUCUAGAGUAAUAUGUAAAACUUCCCUUGUGAAAGUUUUAUUAGUCCAUUAAUCAUUAUCCCAAUGCAACAUGCUUGCAAAAAGGGUCAUAACAAUGGUUAAGAAUAAAGUUGGUUCUGAGCAUAGCUCGAAAGGAAUAAAUUACCAAAAAUAGUAAAGAUGGAUAACAAAGAAAUUGAUUGGGAAUGUGUAUCUUGGAAAAGAAUGAAAUAUUCCAAGAACAACAAAUUCAAUAUAAAUAGUAUGCAAAUUGGGUGCCCCAGAUAUCGUAGCUUGAACUUCUUUGUACAAACUUUCUGAAGACCAUUCUGAGUUUGACAUGAGUUUAGGAGAUCUACAGUAUUUUCUCGAUGCCCCAAGAUGUCGCCUACCCUUUCCUAUUGAUUCAGGUAUAACAAGAUCACCACAUGCCCCAAUAUGAUCAAUAUUUGAGCCGCCCUUUUCGGGUUUUCUACUCAAAUUCCCUUUGGCCUAAGGCGCCCUUUGCGGGUUUUCCCCUUAGCCUCUCCAUUUUUACUUUUUCAUUUUUUCAUUUUUCACAUUUUUUUUGACUCAAAGUGCCCUUUGCAGGUUUUCACCUUGGUCCUUUCUUCUUCUUUAAACGAAAUAUUUCUUGACUAGAUCUGAGUUUAUAGGAUUUGGCAAGUUUUUACCAUCCAUCUCACUUAGAAUCAAAGCUCCACCAGAAAAGACCUUCUUUACGACAUAAGGACCCUCCCAAUUUGGCAUCCAUUUUCCUCUAAAGUCUUUUUGUAUAGGAAGAAUUUUCUUCAACACCAGAUCCCUUCGUGGAAUUCUUUGGGACGACCCUACUUAUUAUGGGCUCGUAUCAUUUAUUUCUGGUACAUCCGAUCCUGAUGAAUAGCUUUUAACCCUUUUCCUAGGUUCAACUGAUCACAUCACGAUUGGAUUCAUUCUGCUUCAUCCAACUCUAGCUUAACUAAUACCCGGAGAGAGGGGAUUUCAAUAGGUAAAACUACCUCAAUCUCGUAAACCAAAGUGAAAGGUGUUGCCCCAGUACAGAUGUUUGACAAGCAAGUAGGGCAAAUGGUAAUUUCUCAUGCCAGUCCUUGCAAGUCACAGUCAUUUUUCCUUCAAUUUUCUUGAUAUUCAUCUCUAGGCAAUUUGGUGAUGAAUUGUGGUGUCUGAUUUUGGCUUGAUUACGGACCUCAGCUAUCGUGCUAUUGUUCAGGAUCAAUUCAUUAUCCAAUAUAAUCCUCUCUGACGGUCUAUAUAGUCAUAUGAUGACAUUAGUGUAUGGAGCAACCUCUACUAGUUUGAUGAAGUAAUUGAUAUCCUAAAAAAUAAGGCGAUGCACAUUAGAAGCCUUCGGUGAUAUUGGCCCAAUGUCAUCCAUGCCCCACUUUGCUCAAAAUUUGAGUCGCCCUUUUCGGGUUUUCAACUCAAAUCCACCUUUGGUCAAAGCACCUUUUGAGAGUUUUUGCCUUGACCUCUCCUUUUUCUUUUUUUUUUCAUUUCAUCAUUUUUUUGUUUUGAUUUUAAUUAUUUUUUUUUUGAUUUUUUGAUUUUGAUUUCUUUUUUUUAUUGAAUCUGAACUCAUAGGAUUAGGCAACUCAUUGCUAUCCCUUUCGAUCAGAAUCAAUAUUUUUGUAGAUAAAGUCUUUCACCUAAGAUCUUCCACUUUCAUCUUGCAUGCGAAAAAUCUUAUUUGGCAUCUGAUUUCUUUCUUAGAGCCUUUUGGGGCGCAACUACGAUAGAAAACUUUGGAUCUUACUCUUUAAUCGGGAUAAAAUCCAAUAAAACUUGAAGAGAUGGAAACUCGACUUCAAACAGGCAAAGCUAUGAUGAGUCAACGAGAAAGGCAUUGCCCUGGCAAAGAAUUGCAUCGUUCAUACUGCAAAUUUCUGACAUCGUGCUGUUGUGUAGAUUUCAUUAUCAGAUGUUAACCCAGGCAUAUCCUGGUAUGAUCAUACAAAGACAUCUUUGAACUCUAGAGGUAACUCAACAAGGUCUUGCUUCAUCUUCUCGAUCAGGUCAAUUCUAAUCUUCACCAAGCUCACAAUUCCAAAUGAUUCCUUGUGAGGUAGGAUUUGUCUAUCCUCUUGUUCUACCAUCCUCAACAAGUCCAGAGAUAAGCUACGAUCUAUGUCAUUUUCAAAGUCAUGAGAUCCCUCUAAACACAUGCCUCGCUCAAAAGGAAAAUCUAAGUCUGUAGCAGCGUCAUUCAUGUAAUUGAUAUCUGGGGACCCAUAAUAAGUACCAAAGAAUGUACAAAAGAAUGUAUAAAUUUAUGAAUAAUUAUUUUUACAAUAUGCUUAUGAAUGAAUGAAUGAUGUGGAAGGAAAUUCAAAAGAAUGAAAGAAUAAUUAUUCAAAAAGACUGAAAGAAUAUUGGUUCAAAAAUGAUCACAAGAAUGCAUUUCAUUAAAAUAACAAUGUUCAGACAUGAGCCUAUUUCACAAAGAAGUUCUGAUUGCUUCUAGGCUAAAAGCAACAAGUGCGUUCUGACUAUUACUCUAAGUAAGCUCUAAAUACUAUAGGAAUUUCUUCCGGAGUCCAAUUGCUAAGAACACUCCCAGAUUUAUAAGGACGGAUAUCUAACAAGGUCCCUUCUUCAAUUGUGUCUUCAUACAUGUCAUUGAUUUGAACGCUUCCCAACAUCUCUUCAUACAUCGCAUCAAUCAUGAUUGGGUAGAGGGUUUUCUGCACUAGAGUCAUCAAACUUGACAACACCCAUGUUGAUGUGCCUUUAAACAAGCUUUUUAAAGACGGUGCAAUUUUCUAUCGAAUACCCCGCAAUUCCCGCAUGAUAAUCACGUUGUGCAUUCACGUCAUACCAUUUGGGGUACGGAGGUUGCAGGGGUUUUAAGUAGAAAGGGGAAACAACGUGCGCAUCGAAUAAGCUUUGAUACAGCUCCUUAUACGACAUCAAAAUUGGCGUGAACUGGAGCUUUUUAGUAUUUUUUUCACACCAGAUUCUUGUCUUGAUGAACCUUGUAGACUAGCAACCACUUUUCUUGGCUGGUUCACCGUAAUUGAUUUGUUGUAUGUGCUCACGUUGUUUACCUCAUUCUCCUUUCUCCUUGCGGCUGACUUUUUGUUACUCUCUCAUGGCUUUAUUUUCCCAUUCCUGGUGGCAUUUUCAAUCAUCUCACCAUUCAUGAUUAUAUCUGAGAAACUCUUUGAGGCACUUCCCAACAUGUGCGUGAUAAAUAGGGCUUUCAGUGUGUUGAUGAAGAGCAUCGUCGUCUCUUUCUCCAAUAGUGGCGGCUGAACCUGGAUAGCGACUUCCCUCCAUCUUUGUGCGUAUUGCCUGAAACUCUCGCUCGAUUUCUUCUCCAUGUUUUGUAACGUAAUGCUAUCAGGGGUCGUAUCAGUUACACGACUGUACUGUUUUAUGAAUACCUGUGCCAGGUCCCUCCAUGAACCAAUCUUGGUACUGCUCAAUUGAUUGUACCAUUUGGACGCUGCCCCUACCAAACUGUCCUAGAAGCAGUGUAUUAGCAGCUGGUCAUUGUUAACGUAGUCAGUCAUCCUUCUACAGAACAUGGUGAUGUGAGCCUCGGGGCAACUAGUUCCAUUGUAUUUCGAAUUCAGGCAUUUUGAACUUGUGAGGGAGUACUAAGUCCGGAACCAAGCUCAGAUCUUUAGCGUCGAUUCCAUGAUGGCUAUCAGCGCUUUCCAAGGCUUUGAAUUUUUCCUCCAACCAUUUACACCUAUCCUCCCAUUGUUUUGGUAGCUCCACGUUUGCCUUUUCUUUUUCAUUCGUUUCAUCAAAAUUGGGAAUAAUAGGGUUAAUCAGGUUAUCUCUUAGGAUUAAACUUGAUCCACCUUGGAGAUUCACGGGCAUAGAGGCACCAGCUUGGAAUUGUUGAGGCCUAAUUGUAACAGAUAGUCUUCUUGGGUAUAUGUCAGCUUAGGUUUGUGCAUUUGGUGGAGUAAAACCCGGGGGAUAUAACGGAUCCUCAUUAUCUUCUCUAGGAUUGGUCAUAGGGUCCUUUCCCUUAUUUGCUCCUCCCGCCAGUAAUUGAGUUAACUGAGCAAUCAUCUUUUUCGUCAUAUUUUGUUGAAUUUUUUCUAAUUGCUCUUGCAUUCGCACUUGUAACCGUGCUUGCAUAUCCUUUUGCAUUUGCUCCAGCUUCUCUAAUCUUUGAUCCAUUUCCUUAGUUUUGGGACGAGUACCGUAAGGGUGUUUGGUUGAUUGGUUUUCCAGAUUAGCUGAAAUAAAUUUACUCAAUUAGAAUCUUUCAAUGGAUUUUGAUGAUGUCAUGUAAUGUAAAUGCAUGAAAUGAAUGCCUAAAGAGGGGUUGAUUUUGAUUCAAUUACAUUUAGAAAACUUUACUAGAAGAUAAAUUUCUUUACAUAAAGCGGAUAUAUAUACAGUCUCGCCCUCAUAUUCCAAGAGACAACAUCGAUCCCUUCCUUCAUCCGUGUGCUAAGAUAAACCUUGCGAAUUCUUCAAAAAAGGUGUCUCCUUUAUCUCUUUUUGUUUGAUCUUGGUCGCAAUCCGUUGUCUGCCUAUCCUCGUAAUGCUAAUCAGGUCCUUUAAGGAAGUUAGAAUGUCGAUGGCUCUUAGAUAGUCAUCUUGAAUCUUCGAGCCAUGAGGUACAAUCAUGAACUUUUCCUUCACCCUUCUUGUGUUUCUCGGAAUAUAUUCAGGAAGUCGUACUAUUUUCCAUUUUAUCAAGAAAUCUGUAUUCCAUGAAAAGCUUUCUAAUUUAGUAAUCGGACUCGAAUCAACAUCUCUUUCCUAAGAUGCAAAUGCAAUGCAAUCAUAGUCAAAGCAAAACAAAACGAGUUAGUACAAACUAAAAGCAAACAAAAGAAUACCUAGUCGGGAAACCACUAGGGGUUUGGAGUAGUCCUACCUAAGGUGGGCACCAAAGGUCUUUUACAUGCGGUUUGGUUCUAAAGUUGAGGUACCCAAACCAGCAGAUUCCUCGAUCCUCACCCAUUAUAGGCUCAUACAGGUCGAGUUCGGUUCAGGGGAAUACAUUCCCCUAUGGUUGCACGGAGAUGAAAAUCUCACGAAGACAUAGGUACGAAUGUAUUCCGAAAGUGAUCCACUAUCCUGCACGGAGGUGAAAACCUCACGAAGAAGUAGUUUCUCACUUCCAUUUAAAAGGUAAGACUAAACAAUCUUUAUGCAAUAUGAUGCCAAAAUAUAAAACCCAGUCAGUAGUAAUCAAUCACAAACAAAUGCAAUGAGAGGAUCGUAAUUUUUAAAAUCAAAUUUUCAAUUUUCGAUAAUAAGACAGAAAACAAUCAGUUUUACGGCUUGACUCUCUAAAGUCCCCAGUGGAGUCGCCAAGAUGUCGAAACCAUUUUUUUUUGAAAAACAAAAAUUUAGUAGUCGACUUAAAAAUGAAAAUUAGAGUUGCCACUGAUCUUUUAUUGAGGUGUGAUCGACUCACCUUAAAAACAAUUUUGGUCUGCAGAAUUUGAGAAAACAGGUUCGGGAGUUGGUUACGUACGAGGAAGUGUUAGCACCCUCGUAAUGCCCAAAAUUGGUACCGAAUUGAUUCAUUAAUGUCUUAAUGUCGAAUGUUUGAAAAGAUUUUAAAAUACGAUCCUUUGAAAAGAAAAUUUGAAUAAAAUUAAUUGGAUGAUGAGACUCACUUAUUUCAAAGAAAUAAAUUAUCACACUCAGUAAGUUAGAGUGCAAUAUCUUAAAUCCUCAAAAUUAAGUUUAUUUUUUGACUUUUAAAACCUAUGCAUUUUGAGAAGGAUAUCUGAUUAUUUGGGUCAAAUGAAGAGAUCAAAAUCCAGUAAGUUAGGGUCCAAUUUCACAAAAUUCCAAAUACAGAAUAUUGCCUUUAUUUUUAGAAGAAUCCUCAUCUCGAGGAAACAACAUGUCAUACCCAAUGCGUUAGGGCACAACGUAUCGAAUUCCCGAGAAUGAGCUUUUUUAUUUAUGUUUUAAUUAAAGAGGAUAUUCGGCUUCCUAGAUCCCGAGGAAGAUUGGAAUCCAAUAAGUUAGGACACAAUCUUUUCGAGGAUUCCAAAUUCCAAGUGUCGCGUUGUCUUGAAAGACUUUUGUAUAAAUGAUUUUGAUAUUUAAAAGAUAUUAGACGUAAUCUUUAAUGUAACGCGAUUGAAUGGUAAAGUGUGAGAUAAUUGGUAAUCCGAACACACAUUAAAAAAUAAUGACCAAGCAAUAGAUAAAUGUUAACAAGAAUAGCAACAAUAAUUUUAAUCCUAUUAUGCAAACAUCAGUAUUACAAAUUAAACAUCAAACGAAUUAAUAAUCAAUUUUAAAACGUGUACGAAGAAAACAGUGGCAGCAAGAGAAAUCACAAUCAAUAAAUUAUACAUGCCAAAGUCUUGAAAUAAACAAAAUAUAUAUAUACCAAUACAUAAUAUUUUUCUUUUAAAAUAAUGCCUAAUAAAUCUGAAAUGAUAAUACAUAAUAAAUUUAAAAAUAAAUAUAUAAUAAAUCUAAGCUAAUAAUACAUAAAAGUUUAUGAUGUUAAUAAUAUAUUGUAAUUUAAAAAUAAUACAUAAUGAAAUUUAAUGCUAAUAUAUAUGAUUGUAAUAUAUAUGAAAAAAAAUUCAAGUGUAGUACGUAAAGUAAUAUGUACAUAUAUAUAUAAAUAGAUAAAUAAAAUAUAAAUAACAUAAUUACAAUAUCAAUAAGGCUAGUGGAGACAAUGAUAAUAAUAAUAAAGAAGAUUAAACUAAUUAAUAAAAAAACAAAUAACAAAGAGGAUUAAAUUGAAUUUUAAACAAAAUUACAAGGAAAAAAAUGAGAAUAAAACAAAACAGAGGGCCAAAAUAUAAUGCGCGAAUUACUUGGGGCACCAAGCAGAAAAUACUCCCUUCCCUCAAAACGUGGUGUUUAGAUCAAGACUGAAUUGACACAAAUUCAAAAUUCAUGCGGGAAAUUUACAAAAAAAAAUGAAAUUAAAAUGAUGGAGUAAAAUGGAGGGAUCGAAGGCGCAAAUAGACUACACAACAAAAAUGCGUGGAUCCUUCCCAGGUCGGGUCACCCUGCUAACCAUAAACCACCAAACGGCGUCGUUUUGGAGCCAUUGGAACCAGGCUUAAACGACGUCAUUUUUUAGACUAUAUAAAGACGACUUCAAACCCUAAAUCAGAAACCCCUUGCCAUUUUCAAAACUCACGCCGCAAAACCUAUGUCUCUCUUCGUCGUUCGAACCCCUUCGACUCUGAUUUAGACGGGAUGAAUAGGAACUCCGACGACUCCUACAAUGGUAAGAUCCUCUCACUUUCUCUCUUUUUGGAUUUCGUAAAGGAGCAAAAAUGAUUUGCAUUAUAUCAGAAAAUGAAAUCUGCCAUUACUCUUUUAAAAAUCAAUCUAUUAUUACUGUUUUGUUCAUAAUGAAAUCACCUUCAAAAAAAAUUGCUUUUUUCUUUUUGUAUUGAUAUCGUGUGUGUAAAAAAAAUACAAAGGUUCUUCCCUUUCUUUUAUAGCCGAGAGAAAAAGAAAGAGAAUAAAAUAAAAAUACAAUAUAUCCAUUUUCUUUUUGUUGUGUUGUUUUCGUCCCAUUUGUAAGUGUACGGAGGCGGUGGACGUAGUGUGUACGGAGGAGAAGGCGUACGCGUACGGAGGCUCAUCACGCGCGAGGGGCUUGGCUUUGGCACCUGGAUCUUCUAGGGUUUCCAUGUGUUGUUUAGUUUUUUGGGCUCAUUUAGGGUUUGGGUAGAAUUAGAUGUUGGACCUUAAUUGUUUAGGCUAAUUUUUGGACUGGUGUUUAGUGGGUUUGAGGCUUAAUGUAAUCCGGGCUUAGAUUUUAUUAAAUUUGUAAUACUGGACUGUAUUGGACUUUUAUUAUAUAUAUUUUAUAUUUUUUUAUAUUUGGGUUUUAAUACUUGGGUUCGGGUCGGGCAAAAUUUGGGUAUGACACAUUCAUUUAUUAAAACAUACUUAUGAAAGAAAUGAUUGAAACAUACUUGAAAAUUUUAAAAUUUGAGCAAUUUAUUUGCCUUACCCCCUUUAAAAAGAAGCAAUGUCCUCAUUGCAAGAACAAAGUAUGAAUGAAAACUGAACACCAGGUAGGGUUGUAAAGAAAGAGAGGUGAGUCAUUAAGACUUCUUAAAUACCAAGUCUUUCCUAAUAACCCAAUCCUAGACAUCUUCAUUCUCAUUGCCACAUCACUUAGUCUUUUUCUUUCUAAAGAAGUAUUUAUUCAUGCUUUCUAUGUUUAUUUUUCAAAAAUUAAAUCCUAAUUACUAAAGAAAUAAAUUCCUAAAGACCUAGAAAACAAUUAAAUAAAUAACAAGACAAGAAUCCCCCAUUUUAUUUUUCUGACUCAUUCCCCUUGUCUUAUUUAGUUCCAUCUCUGCUUGCAUCGUUUGUAUCUUCCGUUCAUGUCUCAAAGAUAGCAUCUGAGAAUUCAAGAACAAAAGUGUUAGAGAUAUUCAUAAAAGUAUUUCAAAUUGAAUCAUCCCUAAUUUUUGCAUAUUUCCAGUAAGUUUGUUGUUGAUUGUGCAUGAACUUGCACAUAUCCAUCAAAAUUGUCAACUUCGAUUUCUUUGAAGUACUUGCAAGAGUCGGCAUUGGAGUCGUAAAUUCUGGUUCAACACUUAGCUUGACUGGUUCUUCUUCUAGCUCAACCAUUGGUUUAGAGUUUUCAGUUCCUUCAACUGGUUGAGGACUAUUUGGUUCCUUAUCAGAUUCUCCUUCAAUGUCUGUGUAACGCCCCAAAAAUGUAUAUUUUUGUUUAUAAAAAUAUGACACAAAUAUGUUUCUGCUUUAGUGGUUAAGUGUUCUAGGUGUGUGUAUGAGGUCCUAAGUUCAAGCCAUGCCUUUGGCGAAAUUUUGGAAUUUUUUCUAAUUAAAGCCUUAUCCUUAUUCAGUGGGCUUAAUUUUAAUUAUUUGUAAAACCAUAUCAGAAUGAGCCUACUGGUUCAAGUGGUAAGGCAGUUGGAGUGUUGGAGAUUUCGUGUUUGAAUCUUUGCACGAGUGAGAAUGUUAAUUGUUUUACUUGAUUUCCUAGAAGAGUUGUGCAGAAGAUGGAUUCUGAGUAGUUGGGAUUUGGGGAGUUAUCAGGAUUAUUUUUGUACUUUUUUAUUUUAUUCAUUUCAAAAUUUGUUUCUCUCUCUUUCUCUCCAAAAUUCUGACGUCGACUUUCUUCUUCACUUUUCUUCUUCGAUUUUUCUCGACUUCCUGUUGAAUUUUUCACAGUCAUUGCGUUCAUGGCCCUUUUUCAUCUGGUAAGUGAUCUCUUUUAGUCUUCUUCCUUUGAUUUGGGGUCUAGAGACAUUAGUUUAUGGUAGUUAAUCGAUGUAUCCUGUGUUUAUGAAAAGAUCAAGGUGCUGGGGUUUCCGAGUCGAUGCUUUAAAUGUGCAGAUUAAUGUUGCUCGACCUAAGGUAAGAUUUUAGUCGAUUUAAGUGGGUUGUUCAUCACUUUUGGUUCGGUUUAAUGUCAUUCUAAGUGUUUAAUUCUGGGUUUGUUUGGUCAAUAUUAGGUAUUGAAGUGCUUGUGUGCGUAUUUGCAGUGAAACGAUACCAGGUGUGUACCCAAAACACAAAAAUAAGAGAUUCGGCAAAAAGCCAAAAUUGCUUGCUGUUUGGAUAGCAGCAGUAAGCUAAAUUUGAAAAAUCACCAUAAAUUGUAAAAAUCGAAUUAAAGGAUGAAAAAAAUAUGGAAUUAAAUAUAUUUAAGUUUAGUUUUUUAUAGAAGAAACAAAGUAAGAAAAUAUUUUCAUGUUAUGGGAUAUUUGAAUUUUAGUGAGAUAGGUUCAGAAUGAUUUCAAAAUCCCUAUCCUGCAUUUGGAAAAUUAUUAAAAAUUUUAUAAAAAUAAUUAUGGGUUAAAAUUUAUAUGUUUAAAAUCUGGAAAAGCAAACAAGAACAUCAUCUGAAUUCUGUAGAAGAAGAUAAUUAAUUUUUAGUGCAGAAAGGUCGAAACUGUCAGACAGCAGAACAAGGAAAACUUUAAACAAUAAACUGUACUUAUUGGCUAAACCAAUAAUUCUAAAAAUUUUAUGGUAAGAAAAUAUGUGAGUCUGGUUUCAGAGAAAAUUUUCAGAUCUUAAUUCAAAAUUCUGUAGCUUAAGACACAAAUAAUUUAGUUACAGUGACUCAAAUAGACAACUUUGAAGGAUCAUAUAAGUAAAUAGUGGAAACACAUAUGAAUAAUUAACUAGCAUGGGUUACAUUAAAAUGGAUCACGAGGCCAAGGCCAAUUUGGGUCAUGUGGGUCACACGGGCGUGUGGGUCCACACAAGCGAACAUCAUGGGCUUGUAGGCCUAUUUUCACUGUUUGAUUGAUAAGGUCGCACGGGUCGCCCAAGUCGUCUGUGAACCUACUGUAGGGUCGGUAAGUUUAUCUAGACCCCUAAUUGACUGAAAUGACUGUAUGACUGAUAUGAUUAAGCAUGAUGGCGUCCCACUGAUUUGAUACUGUAUGCCCUGUUUACAUGCAUGAUAUUAUGUUAUAGCAUGUCAUAUCUGUAUAUUGCAUUACAUUGGGUUGGGGGAUUAUAAUGUUCGGAGGAAGUGUACUGAAAGGCCUCGAGCCUAAUUUACUGGCAGCUUAGCUGCAAACUACUGUCUAGUGCCACAUUCGGUACUACUUGAAGUAUAGGGAUGGGUGGUUUGAUUAUAUCCCUACAUGGAGUGUAGGGUUGGACGGAGAUGGUGUGUAGAGGCUGGAUGGGUAGGAUUUUGGUGACUACAUAUCUGUUACUGCUACUGAUACUGUGAUGGGCUAAAGCCUUACUACAUGACUGUUUUUGUACUAAGAUGGGCUAAGGCCCAAACUGAACUGAUACUGAUACUGAAAAGGGCUUAAGCCCAGACUGUGAUUAUUUGUUUACUAUCUGUUCAUUUGUAUGGGGAUUACACAUUGAGUUUACGUAAACUCACCCCUUCUGUUUAAUCUGUAUAGGUAAUCCCUAGAUAUAGGCAGAUCGGUGCAGCGGAGGACUCAGUGGUGGCUACACGACUUCUUUUACAUUGUUUACUACUUGUUUAUGAUUUUACUUUUAUUUGGGAGUAUUUUGAUGUAAUUAUGACCUUUACGUAUUUUGGUUUAAAAUUUGGAUUUUAUACGGUUUUAUGAUUUAAAUCUGCUUAGUGUUAGGUAAAACUCAGGUUUUCAAAUGAAAUUAAUGUUUUAUCAAAAAUACCACGAAUAAACAAACUGUUUAAAAGCUUCUGCAUAGAAUAAACAUUUUGAAAACUUUCGACUGAUUAAUUAACACGACUUUAGAAAUAAUAAGUAGACUUUGAAAAGUUUUCUAAGUGAAAAAUGUUUUAAGCAAAGCUACGGUUUUCAAACACUACCAUGUGACAUUGCCAGAUUCGGCCAUAACGUCUAGGUCGGGUUUGGGGUUUUACAGUCUGUAACUGAAUCAGCUUCAGUUUUACUUUUAUUUGUUAACUCUUUGGUUUCUGGAUCAAUUGGUUCCUCUUGCUUGCCUUGGUUCAGCUCAUGCACUCCCUCUACUAACCUUUCAAGAUCAUGACUUGUGAUGCACCCUUGGACAUACUGCCCCUUCAGAUUUGCUUGUGUUUUAACACGGGCCCUUAAGCAAAGUGAAGUGAUUAAUGGUGGGAAAUAAGCACUUCCUGCCUUCUUUUUAGCACAAUCAUGAAUUUUCUUGAGUAUAACUUUCCCAACAUUAAUGGAAUUUUCUGUCAAAAUUGUAUAUAACAAGAGCAUUCAUUACAUCGAGAUGGUGAAACUAUGUUGUCGAAACCUCUUUUAAAUUUAUUUGAAAAAACGGGGAUCGACUUUAAAAAAUGAAAAUUGGAGUCGCCACCGAUCUUUAAUCAGGUGUGAUCAGAACACCUUGAAAAUGAUUUUAGGUCUACGAAUUUUGAGAAAACUGGUUCGAGAGUCGGUUACGCACGAAGAAGGAUUAACACCCUCGUGAUGCCCAAAAUUGGUACCGAAUUGAUUGCUUAAUGUCUUAGUGUUGAAAUUUUGAAAAGAUUUUAAAAUAUGAUCCUUUGAAGUUUAAAUUUGAAUAAACCAAAUUGAAUAAUGAGACGCACUCAUUUCGAGGAAAUAAAUUGCCACACUCAGUGAGUUAAGGUGAAGCAAUUCAAUCGUCAAAAUUAAAUAUGUCUUUUUAAUUUUUAAAUUUUAAAAUUCAUGUAUUUUGAGAAGGUUAUUUGGUCAUUUAAGUCAAACGAGAAAUCAGAAUCCAAUAAGUUAGGGUUCAAUUUCUCGAAAUUCCUAACAUCAAACAUUGCCUUUAUUUUAAAAUCCUUAACUCGAAGUAACAAAAUGUCAUAUCCAGUGAGUUAGGAUCCAACAAUUGAAAUCUCGAAAAACUUUAUUUAGAAAUCGUAUGGUUUUAUUGCAAUAGAAAUACUUGGCUAUCUAAAUUCAUUGAAAAAAAAUUGAAGCCCAGUAAGUUAGGGCACAAUACUCUCGAGAAUCGGGAAUACCAAGUAUUUUGAGAAUUUACGGAAUAAAAUGAUUUUAGUGCUUUAAUGAAACACAUUUUGUAAACAAAUGUAAUAUGAUUGAAUGGCAAUGUAUGAUGUAAAAGAUAAUCGUUUGAGCAAUAGAUAAAUGCAAACAAGGAUAGCAACAAUGAUUUAAAUCAUAUUAUACAAAUAUCAACAUCAAUAUUAAAACUAGAUAAAUCUAUCAUCAAUUUUAAAAGAUACGCCAAGACGAUAAAAAAUAAUAAAAACAAUAUGUCCUACGCAUAGAAAUUUUAAAAUAAAUUACAUGCAUAAACUCAAAAUAGACUUGAAAUAAAAUAAUAAUAACAUUUAAAAAUAGUAUUAAAAAAUAUUAGGUAAACAUUUAACAUAUAGAUAUACUAAAAUAAAUUUUAAGAUAUAACCUAAAACAAAACAUUAAAAUAUGUACAAAAUAAUAUCAGAUUAUUGUAAAUAUAUAUAUAUCAAUAAUAUCGUGUCAAGUUUGAAAAUAAAAAUAUAUAAUGGACCCUUUUUAAAAAAAUGUAUGAUAAAUUUAAAACAUGUUAAUUUGGAAUAUUAAAAUAAUAUUAGAAAUGAAAACUAAAUUUGUCAAAAUAAGAUCUAAUUUGAUUUAAAAUUAAACUAAUAAAAGUUUAGUUAAAAUUGAAACACAAUCAAAAGAAAAAUAAAAAUAAAAUAAAAUAAACUAGAGGAACGAAAAUUAAAUUGAAAUUAAAACAAAACUAAAUAGGCAAUAAACAUAAAUAAAAAUAAAAGAAAGACUAAAUUCGAACUUGAUGUAAAAACUGAGGGACCACAAUAGCAAAUAAACGCAUACUUCUGAAGAUUUUAAUCUUCUUGAUGGAAACAACGUCGUUUGCUUGCCGAUCAAAAUAGAAUCAGAAUAAAAUGUGCAAUAAGAUUUGAAUACAUUGAAGAGAAACUGAUUUGAAAUAGAAUACAAAGAAAAGGGACCUAAUGCAAAAUAAACCAUUUCUCAAGACGCGCGGAUCCUUCCCACGGAUCGGGUCACUGCUCGGGUAUGGCCAACACGUUGCCGUUUUGAAGUCAUGGAAGAAGACUUUAGACGGCGCCAUUUAAAUAAUCUGCCUAAAAUUUAAAAACCUAAUUGAUAUUAAACAAUCAUCUAAAAUAAAACUAACAAAACCUAAUCAAUUCUCUUUCUCUCUUGCGCUGCUCAGCCAACCAACGUUUGGAGGCCCCGAUUCCUCACUCACCUUCGAUUGCGACGGAGGGAGCAAAAGAUCAACCACCAGGUACACUCUUUGAUUUCUAACCUUCUAUUAUUGUAUUGAAUAGGGAACAAAAGAGCGAAGAACAAAAAAGGAAGAAAAAAAAGAAAAGCAAUCUAUUCACCUUUCAAUUUUUCUGAGUAUUUUUUCUUUUUGCAUUCAAUCUCUGUAAAAUGCGUAAAAAAAGAUCCAUUUUUACAAAUCUUGAUGGCUUUUAUAGCUAAAUUUUCAAAGAUGAAAAGAGAAUAAAAAAUACAAUGUUUUUCCUUUCUCUGCUACGCUAUUUUCGUCCCAUUUGCAGGUACGAAGGAGUGCAUACGUACGGAGGCGCGGUGACGUGGAGAGGACGCGUGGUGGUAUGGCUCAGCUACGUACGGAGGCUGGUCACGUGCGGAAGGCUUGGUAAGUGGCUAGCGGCGGCUGAGGCAGAUAGUUGUUUUAGGGUUUUAUUUUGAAAAUGUUUUAGGGCUAGGUAUGUGGGUCAAUGGUUUGGGCCUUUUUGGGCCGAUUGGUUAUUGUAAAUGGACUGCUAUUGGACUGUUGUUAAUUGUAAAUGGACUUUUAAUAUUUUUUACUUUUAUGUUGGUUUUAUUUAUUUUUUAGUGGUCCCGGGUCAAAAUUGGGCAUUACAGCUACCCUUAUUUGCUCAUUGUCGUGUAACGGGAAUGAAGCAAAGACUUUGAAAAUGGUCAAUUUUACCCGGUCAUGCUGGACCUUGGUGCUCCUCUUCAAGUAGCCUCAGUCCAUCCUAUUGUAUCUUUAGAGAUAUAGGAAUCGGUGCCUCGAUCCACUCCACUGCAAUGUCGGGGAGAUCAGAUUUGUAACUCAUAACUGUGAUGUCGGGGAAGCAAGAUUCGCCAUUGUAGCUUUAAUCUGUUCCGAUGCAUUAUCUGGGAAGUAAGAUUCACUGUUGUAGCUUUAAUAUUCUUGACUGCAAUGUCGGGGAAGCAAGAUUCGCCGUUGUGGCUUUAAUCUGCUCCACUACAUUAUCUGUGGGAUAAGGUCUGAAAUUCUUCGGUCUAUUCCACUGUAAUCUCAGGGAGAUAAGACCUGAUACGAUCUGCUUUACCGUAACUUCAGAGAGAAGAUCCUUUAUUUUAAUCUGCUCCACUGUAAUCUCAGGGAGAUAGGAUUACUAGCUUCAAUCUGCCCCGCUGUAAUCUCAGGGAGAUAAGAUCUAAAAUUUUUCGGUCUAUUCCAUUGUAAUCUUAGGGAGAUAAGACCUGAUGCAAUCUACUCUACUGUAACUUCAGAGAGAUAAGAUCCUUUAUUUCAAUCUGUUCCACUAUAAUCUUAGGGAAAUAGGAUUACUAGCUUCAAUCUACUCCGCAGUAAUCUCAGGGAGAUAAGAUUCACCAUUUUCGAUUAGCUCCACUAUUGCUUAGGGAGAUAAGAUCUGGAAUUCUUCGGUCUAUUCCACUGUAAUCUCAGGGAGAUAAGACCUGAUGUGAUCUACUCUACUGUAACUUCAGAGAGAUAAGAUCCUUUAUUUUAAUCCUCUCCACUGUAAUCUCAGGGAAUUAGGAUUAUUGGCUUCAAUCUACUCCGCUGUAAUCUCAGGGAGAUAAGACUCACCAUCUUCGAUUUGCUCCGCUAUUGCUCAGGGAGACAAGAUCUGUUAUAUUCACUGAUCUGUUCUCUGGAGAAUACGACCUGUACAAUGAACCUAAUUAUUCCUAAUGAUUAAGAUGGCAUGAUCAAAAUGUAUCAAAUGCUCCUAACUAGACAUGUGUGAAUGGUGUUUGCAUGAAUGCAGAAUUCUAUUUUUCUGAGAAUGACUCCGCUUUGUCAUUACACGAAUUUUAUUAAGGCUUUAACACUGACGUGCUUACAACGCCUUUUUGCUUAACCAGCUUUGUUGAAGAAACAUCUAGCCAGGUUGCCCCCAGUGUAAAUCUCAAAGUUUAAUCCAUUGGGGCGCAAAAAACCAUCAUUCUCCCACUGCAACACGAGGGUAGAAAUAUAUGUGGUUUUUAUCACAAUCCUCUCUUAUAACAAAUCAAGGAUAUAGGAUCUAAAAUUGUUUUGGUUCCCUACACCAUUCCCAGGGUGUCAUACCAAAUACUUAUGUGCAAAUGAAGGCUCUCUUCUCUGAGGUAACCUCUUUCUCUUGCCUGAUGAUUAUUGUUUGCUUGUUUAUUUAAACUUUGUCAUUAACCCGACAUCCUAUCAUUUUGUUCAAUCAAUGCAUUUGACAACAAAAUCCAAAGAGAAAGUCCAAAUUUAGACUCUUCGUUCUCAAAUUUCCAACCUUUAAAUUUGGUGUGUUCUAAACAAUAGUCCUGUUUCAGGCUCCUAUAUUAUUUAGAAACUUUUCAGAGUAAUAUGCAAAACUUCCUUUGUGAAAUUUUUAUUAGUCCAUUAAUCAUUAUUCCGAUGCAACAUGCUUGCAAAAAUGGUCAUAACAAUGGAUAAGAAUAAUGUUGGUUCUGGGCAUAGCUCAAAAUGAAUAAAUUAUCACAAAUAGUAAAGAAGGAUAAUAAAGGAAUUGAUUGGGAAUGUAUAUCUUGGAAAAGAAAAAAAUAUUCCAAGAACAACAAUUUCAAUAUAAAUAAUAGAAGAAUUGGGUGCCCCGAGGAUUGCAGCUUGAACUUCUCUGAACAAACUUUCUGAAGACCAUUUUGAGUUUGACAUGUGUUUAGGAGAUCUACAGUGCUUUUUCGAUGCCCCAAGAUAUCGCCUACCUUUCCCUGUUGAUUCAGGUAUAACAAGAUUACCACAUGCCCGAAGAUUCGAGUUUUUCUGAUCGCUUCAUGCCUCAUUUUGAUCAAUAUUUGAGCAACCAUUUUCGGGUUUUCAACUCAAAUCCCCUUUGGCCUAAGGUGCCCUUUGCGGGUUUUCUCCUUAGCCUCUCCAUUUUUACUUUUUCAUUUUUCAUUUUUCAUUUUUUUUUAAGAAUCAAAGUGCCCUUUGCGGGUUUUCACUUUGAUCCCUUUCCUUCAAGUGAAGUAUUUCUUGACUGAGUCUGAGUUUACAGGAUUUGGCAAGUUUUUUCCAUCCAUCUAACUUAGAAUCAAAGCUCUACCAGAAAAGGCCUUCUUUACGACUUAAGGACCCUCCGAAUUUGGCAUCCAUUUUCCUCUAAAUUCUUUUUGUAUAAGGAGAAUUUUCUUCAACACCAGAUCCCUUUCGGGGAAUUCUCUGGGACGAACCUUUUUGUUAUAGGCUCGCAUCAUCCGUUUUUGAUACAUAUGACCAUGUUGGAUGGCUUUUAACCUUUUCCCUUCUAUUAAGUUCAACUGGUCGUAUCGAGACUGAACCCAUUUUGCUUCAUCUAAUUUCAAUUCAGCUAAUACCUGAAGAGAAGGAAUCUCCACUUCAAUGGGUAAAACAGCUUCCAUCUCAUAAACCAGAGAAAAGGGUGUUGCCCCAGUAGAGGUCCUAGCAAAUGUUCGGUAAGCUAAGAGAGCAAAUGAUAGCUUUUCAUGCCAAUCCUUGUAGGUUUCAGUCAUUUUCCCCGCAAUUCUCUUAAUAUUCUUAUUGGCCGCUUCCACUGCACCAUUCAUUUUUGGGCGAUAUGGCGACGAGUUAUGGUGACUAAUCUUGAACUGACUACAAACUUCCGCUAUUGUGCUAUUAUUCAAAUUCAACACAUUUUCGGAUAUGAUUCUUUCAGGCAUUCCACUCGACAAAUGAUCUCCUUUUUUAAGAAUUUACUAACCGCCGAUUUCGUGACAUUUGAUAUGAAGCAGCUUCCACCCAUUUGGUAAAGUAAUCGAUGACCACAAAGAUGAAACGAUGCCCAUUUGAAGCCUUCGGUGAUAUUGGACCAAUAACAUCCAUGCCCCACAUGGAGAACGGCCAUGGAGCAGUCAUAACGUGUAGAGGUGAGGGAGGUACACGUAUCUUAUCUCCAUAAAUUUGACAUUUAUGACACUUCUUGGCAUAGCUAAUGCAAUCCCCUUCCAUAGUAGACCAAUAGUAUCCAAAUCUCAUGAUCUGUCUGGCCAUUGUAAAACCAUUUGCAUGAGUUCCGCAAAUGCCCUUAUGGACUUUUUCCAGGAUCUUUCUAGCCUCCACGGCAUCUACACAUCUUAACAGCACUUGAUCUUUCCCUCUCUUGUACAACACUUCCCCAUCUAAGACAUAUUCAAUGGCUAUUCUUCUCAGUGUUCUCUUGUCAUUUUCUGUCGCUUGAUCAGGGUAUUUUCGAUUUUUCACAUAUUGUAGUAUACUCUAAUACCAAGGGUGAUCAUUUUUUCCUUCCUCUUCAAUAUUGUAGCAAUGAGCCGGAACUUCAUAUAUGCUCAUCUAAAUAGGCUUCAUGAUUUCUAACUUGUUCACCUUAAUCAUCGAGGCUAGAGUAGCCAGUGCGUCAGCCAUCUCGUUUUCAUCUCGUGGAAGAUAACAGAAAGUGAUGUCAUCAAACUCGUCAAUCAAUUCAAGAACCAGCUCUUUAUAACUGAUCAACUUAGGGUCUCUGGUUUCCCAUUCUCCUUUGAGUUGGUAUAUCACCAAUGCGGAAUCUCCACACACUUUUAGCACUUUGAUUUUACGUUCAAUGGCCACACGAAUACCCAUAAUACAUGCUUCAUAUUCGGCCAUAUUUUUUGUGCAAUCGAAGUCUAACUUGCUAGCAACAGGAUAAUGAUCUCCAGUUGGGGAUACCAAGACUGCCCCAAUUCCAUUACCCAUAGCAUUUGAAGCUCCAUCGAAAUUUAACUUCCAUAUGUGGUCUAUUCGAGGGUUUUCUUCAGUGUUUGCCACAUACAUCAAGUCCUCAUUUGGAAAAUCGAAGUUCAAAGACUCAUAGUCUUCCAAGGCUCUGCUGGCUAGAAAAUCAGCUAUUGCACUUCCUUUUAUAGCCUUCUGACUUACAUAUACUAUGUCAAAUUCAGAGAGCAGAAUUUGCCAUCUAGCCAUUCUCCCAUUUAAAGCAAUUGAUUCCAUUAUAUACUUUAAAGGAUCCAACUUUGAAAUCAGCCAAGUCGUAUGAUACAACAUGUAUUGCCUUAGUCUUCGAGUUGUCCAAAUUAAAGCACAACACAACUUUUCAAUGGAUGAGUACUUCAUUUCACAAUCAGUGAAUUUCUUGCUGAGAUAGUAUAUUGCUCUUUCUUUCUUUCCUGUUUUGUCAUGUUGGCCCAAGACGCAUCCCAUGGAAUUGUCAAACACCGUUAGAUACAAUAUCAAUGGCCUAUCUAGACUAGGCGGUGAUAGUAUUGAAGCAUUAGCCAAGUAUUGCUUUAUCUUGUCAAAAGCUUUCUGACAUUCCUCAUCCCAUUCUCUCGGAUUAUGUUUCUUCAGAAGACGAAAUACUGGAUUGUAUUUCUCAGUCAAUUGUGAAAUGAACCGAGCAAUGUAGUUCAACCUUCCUAGGAAACCUCGGACCUCUUUCUGAGUGCUUGGAGGAGGCAGAUCUCGUAUUGCUUUAACUUUAUCCGGGUCAAUCUCAAUCCCCUUCCUACUGACUAUGAAGCCCAACAACUUUCCUGAUCUGGCUCCAAAUAUGCAUUUUGCUGGGUUGAGCUUAAGCUGAAAUUUUCUCAAUCUUAAGAAUAAUUUCCUCAAGACUCGGAGAUGAUCUUCUUCAGUUCUAGAUUUUGCAAUCAUAUCAUCAACAUAGAUCUCAAUUUCUUUAUGCAUCAUGUCAUGAAACAGGGCAUUACUUUGUAACAAAAUGUUCCCCAUAGGGUAAUGAAUGUGGUUUUCCUCAUAUCUUCAGGAUGCAACUUUAUUUGAUUGUAUCAAGAAAAGUCAUCCAUGAAAGAAAAUAAUGAGUAGCUAGCUGUAUUAUCUACCAAAGUAUCAAUGUGUGGCAACGAAAAAUUAUCUUUUGGGCUAGCCUUGUUCAAGUCCCUAUAAUCCACACACAUUCGUACCUUUCCAGCCUUUUUGGGAACAUGGACAAUAUUUGCUACCCAUUCUGAAUACCUGACCUCUUGUAAGAAUCCAACAUAUAACUGCUUUUUGACCUCCUCUUUUAUUUUCAACACAAUAUCAGGUCUCAUUCUUCUGAACUUCUGCUGAACUGGUUUACAAUCUUCUUUUAUAGGUAAACGAUGUACCACAAUGCUAGUAUUUAGCCCUGGCAUAUCCUGGUAUGGCCAUGCGAAAACAUCUUUGAACUCUCGGAGUAAUUUAAUGAGGUCAUGUUUUGUCUUUGUGGUGAUAUCAGUUCCGAUUUUCACCUCUUUUCCUUCCUCUAAGCUCACAAUUUCUAAUGAUUCCUUAUGAGGUAGGAUUUGUUUAUCCUCUUGUUCCACCAUUCUCAAAAAGUCCAGAGAUACACCACCGUCUUCGUCAUUUUCAAAGUCAUGAGAUCCUUCCAAACACAUGUCUUGCUCAAAAAAAGACUCUGUGUUUGAAACAGCAUCACUCAUGUCAUUGAUAUCUGAGGACUUAUAGGGAUACACCAAAGAAUAUACAAAAAUAUAUAAAUUUAUAAAUAAUUAUUUUUACAAUCAGGUUAUAAUGAAAAAAAAUCAUUUGGAAGACAAUCAAUCAAAUGGAAAAUAUUUACUUGCCUGGAAAAAAUAAAAGAAUAAUUGCUCGAAAUGAAUGCAAUGUAUUUUAUUAGAAUAAUGAUAUUCAGACUUAAGCCUAUUUCACAAAGGAUUUCUUAUCAUUCUUAGGCUAAAAACAACAAGAAUGUUUUGAACAUUACUCUGAAUAAGCUCUAAAGAAUACAGGUAUUUCUUCCGCAGUCCAAUUGUUUAGCUCACUCCCAGGUUCGUAAGGGCAAAUCUCCAACAUGGUCCUUAUUUCAGCUGUCUCUAUAGCAUUGAUAUGAACAUUUUCCAACAUCUCUUCAAUGCCUUCCCUUCUGGACACCCUUCGCUCAGGGUAAAUAAACCCACCCGACACAAAGGAUUUAGAUAUAUGGGGGAAAGUCAAAGGCUCCCACUUGACUUCCUCUCCGUUUAAACGUGCCCUUCUUCUCUCCUUCCUUUUCUCCACUUCUUUUCUCUUUUGUUUCAUAUCUAGCUUGUAACCUAAGCUAAAACGAUCAAACUUUUCCUUCAGCAUGGGUGCUUCAAUCCUUCCUUGAAGGUAUUUUCCCAACCCUUUCCCUGGCGAAGCUCCUCUUCCUACCAUCAAUUGUAGACCCAUCUCAGUAGUCUUGGAUAUCUUUGGUACUGGAAUUUUGUUUCCUUCAGCAAUAAACGUUGCGUUCACAAAUUCCAAGGACCGGAAAGAACAUUCCACUCCCUCAUCAUUGGUCUCUACAUAAGGUACAUCACGCGUUACCAUCGCAAUGAUAUCCUCCUCUGCACUUAUUGUUAUCAAUCGACCCUCUGAUAUUAGCUUCACCUUCUCAUGUAACGAUGAAGGUACUGCCCCUGCCGAGUGUAUCCACGGUCUCCCCAAUAAACAGUUGUAGGAAGGCUUAAUAUCCAUUACUAGAAAGUCCACCUCAUAAGUAGUUGGGCCAAUUCUUAAUGGUAUUUCAAUUCUUCCUAUAAACCCUCUUUCUGUUCCAUCAAAUGCCCUUACUAUAUUCUGGCAGACUUUCAUAUGUGAACUGUCCACAGGUAGUCGAUUAAGAGUGGACAAAGGCAAUACGUUCAAUGCGGAUCUAUUAUCGAUCAAAACCCCCGGUAAUGUGUCCCCCCGACAUCGGGUAGUAAUGUGUAGAGCUUUAGUAAAACCCCUACCUGCAGAUGGUAUUUCAUCAUCUUGAAGAAAAUAAAUUGUCAGCACUUAUAUUAUUGAUCAACCGAUCCAACUUAUUGACUGAAAUGUCAUUGGCCACAUAUGUUUCAUUUAGUACCUUCAUCAGUGCAUUUCGAUGUACUUCUGAGAUGAAGAGCAAAGCUAAUACUGAAAUACGGGCUGGCUAUUUGUGCAGUUGCUCCACAACACUGUAUUUGCUAUGUUUCAAGAACUUCAAGAAUUUCUUUGCUUCUUCUUCUUUUAUUGGUUCAUUAACCAAUGGCUAAGGUUCCGCUACCUUCCCUUUCCUCUGUUCUACUAUCAGAGUCUAUUCUCUUAGCAAUUCUACUUGAGUGUCAUAACGCUUCCCAUUACGUGUAUAAAAACCCCUUUCCUGAUAUUCUUUUACCAUAUUGCCCUCAACUUCUUUUCCUGGGAUUGUCACAUUGCAUCCGUAAUUCCAUUGGACCAUUUUGUCAUCCUUAUAUGUGAAACUUGACGGUUUGGUGAUUACAAUUUUUGGUGUUACCUGAACCCUAGCCUCAUUACUCUUAGGGCGUGAGAUAAUGACCACAAGAUGAUUUAUUUUCAGAGUCCCUAUCCCGACUCUGUCGCGUAUAUGCUCCUCCUUUCUUCCGCAUCUUCAUAGAACCUCAUCUCCUUGUUAUCCAUCAUGCUUUGAACCAAAGCCCUGAAUCCUUCACAUUCUUGGAUUUCGUGCCCUAUUUUAUGGUGGAAUUCACAAUAAUUUCCCAUCUCAUACCCUUCCUUAAAAUCUAAAAUAACUAACCCUCUUUUUGCCAUCUCUUUCUAGACCCGUUUCAAUGGAGUUUUUACUUCAGCAAUGUCAGUCUUGACUUCUUCCCCCGUACCUUCGCUCAACAUAUUCACUCCCUUAUCAUCAUGAUUAGGCAACAGAAUUUCUGUGUUGGGUGAGUCAUCAAAUUUGACAACACCCAAUUUGAUAAGUCCUUCCACUACCUUCUUGAAAGCAGUACAAUUUUCUGUUGAGUGUCCUAAAAUUCCCGCAUGAUAGUCACAUUGCGUGUUCGUGUCAUACCAUUUUUGAUAUGGGGGUUGUAGAGGACUCAAGUAACGAGGAGCAACAACAUGUGCAUUAAAUAAAUUCUGGUACAACUCUUUAUAUGUCAUUGGAAUGGGAGUGAACUAGGGCUUCUCAGUAUUUUGCCUCAUUCCCGAUUCUUGUUUCGAUGAGCCUUGUUGAUUAGCAACCAUCUUCCUUGGUUGAUUCACUGUAAUUGAUUUGCUGUAUGCAUUCACAUUGUUUACUUCACUUUCUCUUUUCUUUGGAACUGGCCUUCAAUUAUUCUCUCCACCAUCUAUUUUUCCACUUUUAAUAGCAUGUUCAAUCAUUUUUCCAUUCAUGAUUAUAUCCGAGAAACUCUUUGAGGCACUUCCUAACAUGUGCGUGAUAAACGGUGCCUUCAAUGUGUUGAUGAAAAGCAUCGUCAUUUCUUUUUCCAAAAGUGGUGGCUGAACUUGAACUGCAAUCUCUCUCCACCUGUGUGCAUACUAUCUAAAACUGUCAUUUGAUUUCUUUUCCAAGUUCUGCAAAGUGAUUCUAUCAGGCAUUAUUUCAGAUACAUGACUGUACUGCCUCAUAAAAGCCUGCGUCAAAUCCUUUCAACUGCUGAUUUUGGUCCAGCUCAAUUGGUUAUACCAUUUAGAUGCCGCCCCAAUGAGGCUAUCCUGAAAACAAUGUAUUAAUAGCUGAUCAUUGUUAAUGUACCUAGUCAUUCUCCUACAGAACAUUGUAAUAUGGGUUUUAGGGCAACUGGUCCCACUAUAUUUCUCAAAUUUUGGCAUCUUAAACUUGUAAGGAAGUACCAAAUCCAGAACCAGACUCAGAUCUUUUGCAUCUAUUCCAUGAUAACGUUCAAUGUUUUCUACUGCCUUAAACUUCUCUUCAAUCCAUUUCCAUUUCUCCUCAAACUGUUUUGGUAAUUCUUCAUUUUCUUUAUCCUUCUCAGCUACUUCAUCGAAAUCCGGGACAGCAAGAUUAAUCGGGUUCUCACCAGGGUUAGAACCUGAUCCAGCUUGGGAGUUCAUCGGUAUUGGAAUAUCGGCUUGAAACCGCUGAGGCCUUAUUGAAACAGAGGAUCUACGCGGAUGCACCUCAGUCUUAACCUGCGCAUGCGGAGGCGUAAAGCCUGGAGGAUAGGUGGGUCCAUUCUUGUCUUCUUCUUCAUCAUUAAUCAUAGGACUUUUCCCCUUAUUUAUUUCUUUUAGUAAUUGCGUCAGCUCAGUCAUCAUGUCCUUUUGAGACUCUAGCAUCCUUUCUGUCAUGUCAUGUUGAAUUUUUUCCAGUUGCUCAUUCAUUUGCAUCUGUAACUGAUCUUGCAUUUCCUUUUGAAGUCAUUCCAACUUUUCCAAUUUUUGAUCCAUAAUUUUUUAUUUUGCACGGGUACCGUAGCGGUGCUUGUUUGACGAGUUUUUGUUGGUUUCAAGAUCCGUUGCCUACAGCCUUGUAAUGCGUACUCCAAUUCUUCUAUCCUCUUUUUCAUUUCUUCAAUAUUGCACAGACUUGUCUUUAAUUCCACUACAGAAUUACGACUUCUAUACGAAGCAAGUGAUCUCUCGAGUUCUGCUAUUCUAGCUUUUAAGUCCGCUUGAUAGUUUUGAGUUUCUGACACCUGCCGUUCUAAGGUCUCUUUCUGAACUUGAGCCUCCCGAGACUUUCUUUCCCACCGAUCGGCUUUGUCUCUUUCUUCCUGGAUCUCCUGUUGCCUCUGCUUCGAAGUCUUUCCCAACCUAGCAGUUCUCAUUGAUAGUCGUAGCUUUUUGUACUCUGUCUAUAAGCUAUCUAGAUCCUCCUCGACUUUAUUCUUCCUUUUUUUUAAUUUUUCAGCUUCUAACUUUUGGACGUCAACGUCUAGCCUCAAAUGCAUCUUUUCUUCUUCCAACUGCUCUAUUUUCUUUUCGAGUUCUAAAUUCCUAUUUAUAAAAUAUUGUUUUAUAAUCUCUAACUCUGAUGGGAUCACUUGUAGGUACUCUUCCAUUGGUCGAACACCCUCCGAGUUCAACUCCGGAAUGUUAUCAUUAAUUCUUUUACCUCGCCACUCACCAUACUCUGGAGUUGUCAUCGAACCCACAGCUAGCCUUUUCAUCCUAUGAACCUGAUUCCAAGCCUAAGAAAUUUCUUUCACCUUUUUCUUGUAAUUGUCUCAUCGAUAUGAGAACUCACAUUGAGCUAAACCAUACGUUGCUGGCACAAACUGUCUUGAACUGUAUUGCCUUAGGACCAGCAAAGGUGCAGACCCGAUGGCUCCCCAAAUCCCAAGCAACGGAACCCAGUCAAAGCUUCCACAACCGUAGAGAAUUCCAUCAGGAAUCAACCAAGGAGCUCUCCAUUCCACGUCAUCCUCUUGAAGAUUUUGCAGAAUUGCUAUCCAAUUUUCUUCUAAUAUGUCGUCCCUUCUUGGCGUAGCCACUAUCUCUUUUAAAGGGGAGUAAUGCCCAGAGAAAACCCGAUACGAAACUUUUUCGACCUUCCAGAAAUGACUAUGGAACCAAGCUAUCAACAAUUGCGCACAACCUAUAAAUUUUCCUUCACCAGCUCGCCUACACGCAUUCAAAGAUCUAAACGUUUCAGCCAAAAUCACAGGAACAGGCGUGACCCCUUUACCCAACCGAUCAAAGAGAUCUAAAACCGCUUCGUCAACAUGCCCCAAUGCUCUAGGGAAAAUCACUAACCCGUAGAUACUCAAAGCAAACACAUCGACCUUCUUUUUCCCAUCAGGAUGUGCUAGGAUCAAGUCUUGCAAAUUCGUCCAUGGGAUACAUUUACACUCGCCCUUCUGUUUGAUCCUGGCCGUGAUCCAUUUUUCGUUUAUUCCCGUAAUACUCAUUAAUUUCUUCCAAAACACUAGGACAUAUGCGGCUCUGAAAUAUGCUUUAUCAACCUGAAGCCUAGGGCAGUGCAGUAAAGUUGUAUAUUCCUCCACUUUGGAACCAAAUCUACGUUCCCAAAAGUAAAACAGCUAUAUGCAGGAUUCUAAUAUUGAGCGAGAGCGUGAAACAAUCGUUCAUCACCUUAAUGUUAAGUAAGUACGGCAAGUCCCCAUAAUUAGAGUAGAACAACUGCUUGGUUUCAUCAUUCCACCAAUCCCAAAUCUCAUUUAACUACUGAAGGCUAUUUUGCGUCACACUAAAACGAGUGUAGUCCCAAAAAUCUGACACAUAUCCCUUAGCUAAAUUGUCUCCUUUCUCCAAUUGCACCUUCUCUGACCAUAUACGGACAAUGGCAUUGUCUUCCACUUUAUCAAGAAAUUCUUUUUCCAUGACAAUUUUCUAAUUUAGUAACUGAACUUGAAUCGACACUCUUUGAGAUAUGCAGUGACAUGCAAAAAUAUCAACAAAACACAAACAAGUCAGUACAACACAAAACAAAAUUCAAAGCAAGUAUAAGAAAAUCAAGCACCUAUUUGGACAAUCGCUAGAGUUUGGAGUAGUUCUACCUGGGUUAGGUUCCUAAGUCCACUAUAUGGAGUUUGGUUCUAAAGUUAAGGUACCCGAACUAGCAGAUUCCUUAUCUUCACCCAUUAUAGGCUCAUGCAGACCGAGUUCGGUUCAGGGGAAUACAUUUCCCUAUCGCUGCACGGAGAUGAAAAUCUCACGAAGACAUAGGUACGGAUGUAUCCCGAAAGUGAUCCACUAUCCUGUACGGAGGUGAAAACCUCACGAAGGAGUAGCUUUUCACUCCCAUUUAGAGGGGUAAGACCAAAAUAGCCUUUAUGCAAUAUGAUGCGAAGAUUUUUACAAAACUCAACCUACAAUAAUCAUACAAAUCAAAUUCAAAGAAAGGAUCGAAAUUUUUCAAAUCAAAUUUUCAAUUUUCGACGAUAAGACAAUUAAUUUUACGGCUUGACUCUCUAAAUCGAUUCCCCAGUGGAGUCGCCAAGCUGUCGAAAUCUCUUUUAAAUUUAUUUGAAAAAACGGGGAUCGACUUUAAAAAAUGAAAAUUGGAGUCGCUACCGAUCUUUAAUGAGGUGUGAUCGGAUCACCUUGAAAAUGAUUUUAGGUCUACGAAUUUUGAGAAAACUGGUUCGGGAGUCAGUUACACACGAGGAAGGAUUAGCACCCUCGUGACGCCCAAAAUUGGUACCGAAUUGAUUGUUUAAUGUCUUAGUGUCGAAAUUUUGAAAAGAUUUUAAAAUACGAUCCUUUGAAGUUUAAAUUUGAAUAAACCAAAUUGAAUAAUGAGACGCACUCAUUUCGAGGAAAUAAAUUGCCACACUCUGUGAGUUAGGUGCAGCAAUUCAAUCGUCAAAAUUAAGUAUGUCUUUUAAUUUUUAAAUUUUAAAAUUCAUGUAUUUUGAGAAGGUUAUUUGGUCAUUUAAGUCAAACGAGAAUUCAAAAUCCAAUAAGUUAGGGUUCAAUUUCUCGAAAUUCCUAAACAUCAAACAUUGCCUUUAUUUUAAAAUCCUUAACUCAAAGUAACAAAAUGUCAUAUCCAGUGAGUUAGGAUCCAACAAUUGAAAUCUCGAAAAACUUUAUUUAGACAUCGUAUGGUUUUAUUGCAAAAGAAAUACUUGGCUAUCUAAAUUCAUCAAAAAAAAUUGAAGCCCAAUAAGUUAGGGCACAAUACUCUCGAGAAUCGGGAAUACCAAGUAUUUUGAGAAUUUACGGAAUAAAAUGAUUUUAGUGCUUUAAUGAAACACAUUUUUUAAACAAAUGUAAUAUGAUUGAAUGACAAUGUAUGAUGUAAAAGAUAAUCGCAUGAGCAAUAGAUAAAUGCAAACAAGGAUAGCAACAAUGAUUUAAAUCAUAUUAUAGAAAUAUCAACAUCAAUAUUAAAACUAGAUAAAUCUAUGAUCAAUUUUAAAAGAUACGCCAAGAUGAUAAAAAAUCAUAAAAACAAUAUGUCCUACGCAUAGAAAUUUUAAAAUAAAUUACAUACAUAAACUCAAAAUAGACUUGAAAUAAAAUAAUAAUAACAUUUAAAAUAGUAUUAAAAAAUAUUAGGUAAACAUUUAACAUAUCGAUAUACUAAAAUAAAUUUUAAGAUAUAACCUAAAACAAAACAUUAAAAUAUGUACAAACUAUAUCAGAUUAUUGUAAAAAUAUAUAUAUCAAUAAUAUCGUGUCAAGUUUGAAAAUAAAAAUAUAUAAUGGACCCUUUUUUAAAAAAAAUAAUGUAUGAUAAAUUUAAAACAUGUUAAUUUGGAAUAUUAAAAUAAUAUUAGAAAUAAAAACUAAAUUUGUCAAAAUAAGAACUAAUUUGAUUUAAAAUUAAACUAAUAAAAGUUUAGUUAAAAUUGAAACACAAUCAAAAGAAAAAUAAAACAAAAAUAAAAUAAACUAGAGGAACGAAAAUUAAAUUGAAAUUAAAACAAAACUAAAUAGGCAAUAAACAUAAAUAAGAAUAAAAGAAAGACUAAAUUCGAACUUGAUUUAAAAACUGAGGGACCACAACAGCAAAUAAACGCAUACUUCUGAAGAUUUUAAUCUUAUUGAUGGAAACGACGUCGUUUGCUUGCGGAUCAAAAUAGAAUUAGAAUAAAAUGUGCAGUAAGAUUUGAAUACCUUGAAGAGAAACUGAUUUGAAAUAGAAUACAAAGAAAAGGGACCUAAUGCGAAAUAAACCAUUUCUCAAGACGCGCGGAUCCUUCCCACGAAUUUGGUCACCGCUCGGGUAUGGCCAACACGUUGCCGUUUAGAAGUCAUGGAAGAAGACUUUAGACGGCGCCGUUUAAAUAAUCUGCAUAAAAUCUAAAAACCUAACUGAUAUUAAACAAUCAUCUAAAAUAAAACUAACAAAAACCUAAUCAAUUCUCUUUCUCUCUUGCGUCGCUCAGCCAACCAACGUUUGGAGGCCCCGAUUCCUCACUCGCCUCCGAUUGCGACGGAGGGAGCAAAAGAUCAACCACCAGGUACACUUUUUGCUUUCUAACCUUCCAUUAUUGUAUUGAAUAGGGAACAAAAGAGCAAAGAACAGAAAAGGAAGAAAGGAAAAGAAAAAAAAUCUAUUCACCUUUCAAUUUUUCUGAGUAUUUUUUCUUUUUGCAUUCAAUCUCUGUAAAAUGCGUUAAAAAAAAAAGAUCCAUUUUUACAAAUAUUGAUGGCUUUUAUAGCCAAAUUUUCAAAGAUGAAAAGAGAAUAAAAAUACAAUGUUUUUCCUUUCUCUGCUGCGCUGUUUUCGUCCCAUUUGCAGGUACGGAGGAGUGCAUAUGUACGGAGGAGCGGUGACCUGGAGAGGACGCGUGGUGGUAUGGCUCGGCUACGUACGGAGGCUGGUCAUGCGCGGAAGGCUUGGUACGUGACUAGCGGUGGCUGAGGCAAAUAGUGGUUUUAGGGUUUUGUUUUGAAAAUGUUUUAGGGCUACGUAUGUGGGUCAAUGGUUUGGGCCUUAUUGGGCCGAUUGGUUAUUGUAAAUGGACUGCUAUUGGACUGUUGUUAAUUGUAAAUGGGCUUUUAAUAUUUUUUUCUUUUAUGUUGGUUUUAUUUAUUUUUUAGUGGGCCUGGGUCAAAAUUGGGCAUUACAUGUGAGAUAGACAUAAAACUGUAGCGAACAAAAUAAAACCAUACCUUUGCUACUGGUUUUAAAUAUUUAUAAUGACAAGAAUGGCUUCUAUACUUUCUUAUAAUCCAUUGGGAUCCCGGAUUUGUCACAACAUUAAGCACUUGUUGAAAAAAAUCUCAUUUGAUAUUGUUCAUCAUAGGGUAGUACUCAUCUUCCUCAACAUCAGGUAAAUUAAACAAAACAUUGAUGGACUUAGAAGUAAGAGAUACCUUUUUCUUUCAAACGAUGACUUCAAUAGCAUCUUGUGUAGUCAAUCUAGUAUAGAAUUCUCAAACUAGUUCAUCAUCGGGAAGUGAACGAGCAUCAAAGAAUCGUUCCCACUUAGAGCAUUGAUUAUCUUUAUAAUUGGCACAGGGACAACCAUCACAUCAUUGCUCUUCAGGUUAAAACAUUUUUCCGGCAUCAUAUGUUGAUGCUUGAAAAUUGAAUCAAAUAGCUCUUUCACUUCUUCAUCGAUCAAAAUCUAGUUUUCAGAAGUAGUUUUUAACGAUCUAGUUCUUUUGCGAGGCAUGGUAUUUUCCCGAAAAUUUGGCAAAGUUUUUGCUUGCAGAGGUAAAAGAGGGUGGAUCUUGCUUCGACAAAGCUUACGAUGGUGAAGGUGUUGUGGCGGCGACAAAUACGUGCGGCAGCAAUAGUGGUAUGCGGUGGCAAUAAUGAUUGCAUGCGGCAGCGACGUCGAUGCUUCGGCAAUUCUCUUGUGGCGGCACUAGGUAGUUUCAGCCAAAGAAAAGAAAAAGGGCUAGAGAUUCCUUUUGGGAUCUGAGGCUAGUGGCACAAAAAGAGAGAUUUUAAGGAAUUUUAGGGUGUAAGUAAAUUACUUUGAGGGAUAUGAAAAUUUAGUAGAAUAAGGAGGGGUUUAUAUAGGAAAAUAUUAGGGCAACAUGUAGCAAAAAAAUUAGCUAAAUUAAAGUUACUUGGGCGGCAAGUAAUGGGUGUGACGGCAAGGGUUAAAUUUUCCCUCCUUUUUGCUAUCUUGGGCCUCAAACUCAGACUGUAUCUCACUAAAAAAUAAAUUAUUAGUACUUGGGCCAAAUUUUGACCCCCUUUAUUAACAUAAAAAUUUAAAAUUUAACAAAAUAAUUUAAACUAGAAAAACAUUUUAAAACCUAAUUAGAAGAUCUCUUCUUAACAAAUUACAUUAAAUUAAUUCUCAGGAAAGGUUGGAGGGGUCAGAGCGGUCCCACUUAAGUUUCAAUCUCCUUAGACAGAAUUAAUUAAAUGAACUUAAUUAAGAAAAAUAAAUUCUAAUUAUUUAUUUAUUUACAAGACGAGUUUAUGAAAAAUCAAGGGUCUGUUAAUUUGAACGAAAAUUCAACUCGCUCAACUUCACCAUCCUAGUAGUGUUUGAGACAUUGACCAUUAACUUUAAACGUACCUCCGUAAUUGUCGUAUAAUUCAAUAGCUCCAUAAGGAUAAACUCGGUGGAUGGUAUAAGGUCCUUUCCAUUGGGAUUCCAUCUUCCCAAGAAAUAACUUCAGCAUUGAAUUAAACAAUAACACCUUCUGACCUUCUUUAAACUCGCGAGGUUGUAUAUGACUAUCAUGCCAUCUUUUUUAUCUUUCUUUACACAUUUUGAAAUUCUAAUAGGAAAGAAACCUUAGCUCUUCCAACUCAUCAAGUUGAAACAUCCUUCUCUCACCGGCUUGCUUAAGAUCAAAAUUUAACUACUUCAAAGCCCAGUGAGCUUUAUUCUCCAAUUCUAAUGGAAAAUGACAUGCCUUUCCAAAAACUAACCGAUAAGGAGUCAUUCCUAAUGGAGUCUUGAAUGUUGUUUGAUAGGCCCAUAAUGCAUCAUCGAGCCUUCGAUACCAAUCUUUUCUGUUAGGGCAUACUACCUUUUCAAAGAUACCUUUGAUUUCACGGUUCACUCUUUCAACUUGUCCAUUAGACUGGGGGUGAUAAGCAGUAGCAAUCUUGUGCUUCACAUCAUAUUUGUCAAGCAACCACUUAAGCUAUUUGUUCACAAAGUGAGAACUUUCAUCACUAAUAAUAGCUCUUGGUAUCCCAAAUCGUGUAAACACAUGCUUAUGUAGGAAUUGCAUGACUACCUUAGCAUCAUUUGUAGGGUAUGCUUCAGCUUCAACCCACUUGGAUACAUAGUCCACAGCAACUAAGAUGUAUUUGUUCCCAUAUGAAGAAGGAAAUGGGCCUAAGAAGUCAAUGCCCCAUAUGUCGAACAAUUCAAUCUCUAAAAUGUUUGUCAAGGGCAUCUCAUUCAUCCUUGAUAUAUUUUCGGUUCCUUGGCACUUAUCACAGUUCUUCACAUAAGCGUAAGCAUCUUUAAAUAGUGUAGGUCAAAAGAAACCUGCUUGCAAAAUCUUUGCUGCAGUACGUGAACUACCAAAGUGUCCCUCACUUGGAGAUGAAUGGCAAUGAUAUAAGAUCUCAGCAAUCUCACUUUCAGCUACACACUUUCGGAUUAUAUUAUCUGCACACUGUUUAAAUAAAAACAGAUCCUCCCAAAAAUAAUACCGACUAUCAUGAAGGAAUUUCUUCUUUUAUUGGUAUGUCAUUUCUCGAGGAAUUAUUCCACAUGCAAGAUAAUUGGAAAAAUCAGCAAACCAGGGUAUUUCAUGAAUUCGAGUUACCUCAAAUAAGUGCUCAUCUGGGAAAUUCUCGUUGAUAGGCAUACCAGACUGGGUUACCUUAUCUUGCUCCAACCUCGACAGAUGAUCAGCUACUUGAUUUUUGAUACCUUUUCUAUCUUGGAUCUCAAGGUCAAAUUCUUGGAGUAAAAGUAUACAACGAAUUAGCCUUGGUUUUGCAUAUUUCUUCGUGAGCAAGUAUUUAAUGGUUGCAUGGUCAGUAAAUACUGUAACUUUGGUACCAAUAAGAUAUGAACAGAAUUUGUCAAAAGUAAAAACUAUAGCAAAUAGUUCCUUUUUAAUUACCGUAUAAUUGAGUUGGGCUCCCGUCAAGGUUCUACUUACAUAGUAAAUGGGGUGGAAUACUUUAUUUCUUCUUUGACCCAUCACAACUCCAAUAGCAUAAUCACUUGCAUUGCACAUCAACUCAAAAGAUGAGUUCCAAUUAAGUGUAACGAUUAUUGGGGUUGUAAUUAACCGAUUCUUUAGAUCUUCAAAAGCUUCCAAACAUGCUUUGUUGAAAUUGAACAUUGUAUCUUUCUCUAACAACAAACAAAGCGGCUUAAAAAUUUUCGAGAAAUCCUUGAUAAACCUUCGAUAAAAACUGGCAUGGCCUAAGAAACUUAUGACUCCUUUCACAUUAAUAGGGGCCGGUAAUCUUUCAAUUACGUCCACCUUUGCUUUGUCAACUUAAAUUUCUUUCUUGAGAACUUGUGACCUAAGACAAUUCCUUCAUUGACCAUAAAAUGGCAUUUUUCCCAAUUAAGGACAAGAUUCGUCUCUUCGCAUCUCUUUAGUACCUUAGCCAAAUUACUCAAACAGAUAUCAUAAGUGUUACCAAAAACAAAAAAAUCAUCCAUGAAAACCUCGACGAAAUUUUUGACCAUAUCAGUAAAUAUUACCAUCAUGCAUCGUUGAAAAGUUGCAGGUGCAUUGCAUAAACCAAAAGGCAUGCACCUAAAAGCAAACGCACCAUACGGACAAGUAAAGGUUAUUUUAUGUUGGUCCUCCGGGGCUACAACUAUUUGGUUAUAUCCCUAAUAGUCAUCUAAAAAAAUAAUAGAAUUCAUUACCUGUCAGUCGAUCUAACAUCUGAUCCAUAAAAGGCAACGAAACUAUGCAGAUAACAGAUUUUGGUUAGGAUUGUUAUGCAACCUGCAAUUUAAUCAGGUUAGGAUCUAAAUUGAGCAUGCACAUUUCAAUUAUGCGUCCAUUAGCCGUCGUCUGGUUAGGAUCGCUCAGCUAAUUCACGUGCAUUUCAAUCUAAAAACUAUAUAGAUAACAGGUGCAUUAGCCGUCCCUUGAGCUUUUGUCACACUUCUUCUCUGCACUCAAUGAAACAAAACACAACAUAAAAAUAUAAGCACCAUUUCUUUUAUUACUUUUUCUACUAAAAUGAGUUUUUUUUUCUCGUAAAAAACCUAGGAUGGGGAGAGGGUUUUAAAAUUCAAAGCCUUUGAAAUAUAUGAGUUUGAGGUUGUUAAUAUUAUUUUAUAUUGUUGAAUAGUAAAUUAAUUGUAUUGGUGGUUUAACCUAUUGGAUCGAGAAUUAAUGAUUUGAUUGAUUUGAGUUUGGGCUGCUCACUAUCUUGACUGCAUUUAUCAUUUAAUUCUUUUUUUAAUUAGCCAAACUCAUGUUAACAAUGGUAUAACAGUAAUUAAUGACUUCAUGGACAGAACAUCAAUAUAUAAAUACACAAACAAAUAUAAUGGGAAUUGGAGAACUCCCAUUUAUACAAACAAAUAUAAGUGGGCAAAUUCAAUACUCAUAAUAAAUACACAAAGAUAACUAAAAACAUUAUUAAACCAGAUCCAGUAUGCAGCAUACAAGAAAAAGGGGGUAUUUCAAGGAGUAGAACGAGAAGGUGGUGGAGAAAAGGAAGGAAUAGAGGGAACUGCAGUUGGGAUUGAGGGAAUGCUUGGCAGAGGCGGCAGUCCUCUUGGCAAUGUGGUAGGAAGUGGAGGAAGCGCCCCAGGGUUUGUGAGAUUAGGGAUAGAUGGCAAUGGCGGAAAAGAGAAAGGAAUAGGGGGAAUUGCAGUUGGGAUUGUGGGGACUGAGGGAAUGCUUGGCAGAGGGGGCAGUCCUGUUGGGAAUGUGGUAGGAAGUGGAGGAAGCGCCCCAGGCCAUGAGAAUGAUGGUCGGGAUGGCGUUGGGAGAUUAGGGAAAGAUGGUAAACUUUGCGUUCGAGGCUGCUGCAGAAGGUGACGAGCUGCUACCCCAACAUCAAUGCUUGCAAAUGACAAAGCAAUCAAGAAUGCUAAAGCAAAGCAAUUGAAAGAGGCCAUUUUUGUUCAAAGAUUUCGAAACAAAUGAAGCAGAUGAAACGAAGUUCUUUAUCUGAAUAGUUGUGAGUGAGGAAAACAAAGCAUGGUAUUGAGGUUUAUAUAGGCAUUGGAGUAGUGAAUAGAAAUCCCCUGCCCCUAAACAAUGCCCCAUGCAUGCCCCCAAACCAAAAUAGCGCCACAUGUUUUUUAUUUUUUCCAUUUUAAUUGUAGUUCAUUUUUAAAAUAAAAAAUUUAUAGUGAUUUGAAUUAAUUUUUAACUUAUUAUCAACGUUUUUAUUUUUGUUUUAUUUUUAUUUUACAUUAAUUUUACCUAUUCUUUAAUUAACAAAUUUAUAAUGACUUAGAGUUUAUCUAAUAGAGUUUUUUUUUUAUAAUCGGUCUUAUGAUAAAAUUUUAUAAGGUGGGAACAAGUCCCACAGUGACAACAUGAUCCUUCAAUUUUUGGUGGUGGCAUGCCUUUAGUCAAAGGAUCAGCCAACAUCUGCUCAAUGCUAAUGUGCUCAAUGACCAAUUUCUUGUCUUUAACAUGUUUCCUUAUGCCUAGGUACUUAAAGUCGAUAUGUUUACUUCAACUUCCACUUUUUUCGUUCUUAGCCAUAAAGACAGCAGUUGAAUUGUCACAAUAUAUGAAAUAAUCAAAACCCAUAAUGACUCAGCCUAAAAAUCUCGAGCUUCAAACCCAAAUUAAAUUAAAUCAAAACCAUAAUUUAUUAUGUACAAUUGCACAAAAUUAACAUAAUUUAAGUGUGUCAUAGUGCGCGUUAAAUUAAAGUUUACGUUUGACAUUAUAGAUAAUAUUCACGUGUAAAAUUUUGAGAUUUAUUCCCUUAAUUAAUGUAAUAUGUCAAAUAGAAUACUUGAACAAUCCUCCAUGUUGGCAAAGUUUAUGUUAAGUAGUAGAAGCGAACUAAAUAAUGAGAAUAAAUCUAAAGUAUGGCAUACAUAUAAUUUAUUCACAAUGUGACUUAAACUUUGUCCUUCAAGAUUUCACGGUCUCAAUUUAUGUCUUAAAUUUUUAAGAUCAUUUUAGGUUUGUUAAAAAAUUAAAAGUUUAGAAAGUUAGAAUUGUUGCUUGAGGCGUGAAUAUCCCUAUUCUUUAGGAUAUUUGUGGAUUUACCAUCUCUCAGGAUUUCUUUUGUAUCAUGCACAAUGAAAAAAUUGAAAAAAAAAUUUCCCAUUUGAAUGGAAUUGAGCUAUUAGGCUCAAGCCUCGUGUGCGCAUAUAUAUUCUCUUAUUUUGAGUCUUACAAGUUUAUAGUAAACCAAAUCUAUAUAAACAUCAUUUAAUAGGUCAAUCUAAAAUAUGUUUAAUAUGUGUAAUUCUUUAAAAUAGAUGAAAACUUCAAAUAUGGUUUAGGUCAUUUUCAGAUUUGUCUUAUUUUAGGUUCAAAUUAUUCGAAUUUGAGGCUACGUUUUUCAUGUCUAAUCAUUAUUGAUCCGAAUCAUUUUAGAUUUUGAUCAUUUUAAGUUCCAAUUAUUUUGUGAUCAAAUCAUUUCAAGUUUUGAUAAAUUUGGGUCGAUUCGAAUUUGACUUAAUUACGUAGUUAACUUUUUUUAUACUGAACUGAGCUGAAUGAAAGUUAGAUUGGAAUUUAUUUAGUGUGCCUUUGUGUUUAAGUCGAAAUUUAAACAUCUCCCUUCAAAAUAAACAAUUUAAGACAAUUUUAUUUUAAAGACAAUAAUACAACAUAGUUGAUUUGGGAGAUAAACAUGUUAAUUUUUUAAUCCCAACCAAAAUUGUACAUAAUUCUUUUAUGCCAUAUUAAAUACAUGCAACGUCUUAUAAAAAUUGUAAAUAAAUUAUGCCUAGCGACAACGUUAUUCAACUCUAAUUUCAUGGUUAAUACCUAUUUCUAUUUUUCUUCUACUGUCUUCAGCUUUAAAUAUAAAGGGAUUGAAAUUUUAAGAAUUGAGAUUUCUUUUCUCUGUAUUAGUGGACGUUUGAUUUUUUGUUUGAUUGUUUUUUUUACUGGAAUUGGCACAUAUCUUUUCAGAUUUAUCAAUAUUUUUUUAAAUUUAUUUAAGAUAUGUAUAUCAAUAUAUUACAAAUAUAAAAUAAAUGAAACUAAAUACAUUUCAAAUAUAAAAUAUUUAUUAAUAAACUGAACAAAUAAAAAUUUAUCAUUCUAAUAAAUCCAAAAUUAUUAAUAACAAUCCAUCAUUUAAUAUGAAAUUUUAUGGAUUUAGCUCAUUUACUUAAUAAAAGAAGCUGAAAGGUGGACGAAUAUAUUUUUUCUUUGAUAAUCGGGUGAACGGUUUUUUCUUAAUUAUAUUUUGAAUGUGAAAGUGUAUUCCAUUUUUUAAAAAACUUUACAUUCUGAUGUAACAUUUUUAAUUAGCCACGUUUCAAUUAAGUUUUUGGCAUAAUAGUAAAUAAUUAAAAGUUUAAUAUUUUUAAUGUUAUUCAUCCACAGGACUGUGCAUUAUGUUCUGGCAAGUGUGACAGGAAUUGAUCGGAAUGAGUUGGUGCAAUUUGUACGGACCGAAAUUUUCACCAGUGUAGAAAAAGUGUGUUGGGUGUUUUGCAAUGUUAUUGAAACCAAACUAAACAGACCAAGAACCGAUGAACCCGAGGACUAGAGUAAACUGCAGUUAAACUGCAAAUCAUCAGCCGAUUAAGUCGUAUUUUAACAUUUUCUAAACUGGAAAGAAGAAAAUUUCACUUCAAGGCCCUUGAGCUUUUGUCACACUUCUUCUCUGCACUCAAUGAAAUAAAACACAACAUAAAAAUAUAAGCACCAUUUCUUUUAUUACUUUUUCUACUAAAAUAAGUGUUUUUUUCCUCUUAAAAAACCUAAGAUGGGGAGAGGAUUUUAAAAUUCAAAACCUUCGAAAUAGAUGAGUUUGAGGUUGUUAAUAUUAUUUUAUAUUGUUGAAUAGUAAAUUAAUUGUAUUGGUGGUUUAACCUAUUGGAUCGAGAAUUAAUGAUUUGAUUGAUUUGAGUUUGGGCUGCUCACAAUCUUGACUGCAUUUAUCAUUUAAUUCUUUUUUUAAUUAGCCAAACUCAUGUUAACAAUGGUAUAACAGUAAUUAAUGACUUCAUGGACAGAACAUCAAUAUAUAAAUACACAAACAAAUAUAAUGGGAAUUGGAGAACUCCCAUUUAUACAAACAAAUAUAAGUGGGCAAAUUCAAUACUCAUAAUAAAUACACAAAGAUGACUAAAACCAUUAUUAAACCAGAUCCAGUAUGCAGCAUACAAGAAAAAGGGGGUAUUUCAAGGAGUAGAACGAGAAGGUGGUGGAGAAAAGGAAGGAAUAGAGGGGACUGCAGUUGGGAUUGAGGGAAUGCUUGGCAGAGGCGGCAGUCCUCUUGGCAAUGUGGUAGGAAGUGGAGGAAGCGCCCCAGGGUUUGGGAGAUUAGGGAUAGAUGGCAAUGGCGGAAAAGAGAAAGGAAUAGGGGGAAUUGCAGUUGGGAUUGUGGGGACUGAGGGAAUGCUUGGCAGAGGGGGCAGUCCUGUUGGGAAUGUGGUAGGAAGUGGAGGAAGCGCCCCAGGCCAUGAGAAUGAUGGUCGGGAUGGCGUUGGGAGAUUAGGGAAAGAUGGUAAACUUUGCGUUCGAGGCUGCUGCAGAAGGUGACGAGCUGCUACCCCAACAUCAAUGCUUGCAAAUGACAAAGCAAUCAAGAAUGCUAAAGCAAAGCAAUUGAAAGAGGCCAUUUUUGUUCAAAGAUUUCGAAACAAAUGAAGCAGAUGAAACGAAGUUCUUUAUCUGAAUAGUUGUGAGUGAGGAAAACAAAGCAUGGUAUUGAGGUUUAUAUAGGCAUUGGAGUAGUGAAUAGAAAUCCCCUGCCCCUAAACAAUGCCCCAUGCAUGCCCCCAAACCAAAAUAGCGCCACAUGUUUUUUAUUUUUUCCAUUUUAAUUGUAGUUCAUUUUUAAAAUAAAAAAUUUAUAGUGAUUUGAAUUAAUUUUUAACUUAUUAUCAACGUUUUUAUUUUUGUUUUAUUUUUAUUUUACAUUAAUUUUACCUAUUCUUUAAUUAACAAAUUUAUAAUGACUUAGAGUUUAUCUAAUAGAGUUUUUUUUUUAUAAUCGGUCUUAUGAUAAAAUUUUAUAAGGUGGGAACAAGUCCCACAGUGACAACAUGAUCCUUCAAUUUUUGGUGGUGGCAUGCCUUUAGUCAAAGGAUCAGCCAACAUCUGCUCAAUGCUAAUGUGCUCAAUGACCAAUUUCUUGUCUUUAACAUGUUUCCUUAUGCCUAGGUACUUAAAGUCGAUAUGUUUACUUCAACUUCCACUUUUUUCGUUCUUAGCCAUAAAGACAGCAGUUGAAUUGUCACAAUAUAUGAAAUAAUCAAAACCCAUAAUGACUCAGCCUAAAAAUCUCGAGCUUCAAACCCAAAUUAAAUUAAAUCAAAACCAUAAUUUAUUAUGUACAAUUGCACAAAAUUAACAUAAUUUAAGUGUGUCAUAGUGCGCGUUAAAUUAAAGUUUACGUUUGACAUUAUAGAUAAUAUUCACGUGUAAAAUUUUGAGAUUUAUUCCCUUAAUUAAUGUAAUAUGUCAAAUAGAAUACUUGAACAAUCCUCCAUGUUGGCAAAGUUUAUGUUAAGUAGUAGAAGCGAACUAAAUAAUGAGAAUAAAUCUAAAGUAUGGCAUACAUAUAAUUUAUUCACAAUGUGACUUAAACUUUGUCCUUCAAGAUUUCACGGUCUCAAUUUAUGUCUUAAAUUUUUAAGAUCAUUUUAGGUUUGUUAAACUGCAGUUAAACUGCAAAUCAUCAGCCGAUUAAGUCGUAUUUUAACAUUUUCUAAACUGGAAAAAAGAAAAUUUCACUUCAAGGCCCUUGAGCUUUUGUCACACUUCUUCUCUGCACUCAAUGAAAUAAAACACAACAUAAAAAUAUAAGCACCAUUUCUUUUAUUACUUUUUCUACUAAAAUAAGUGUUUUUUUCCUCGUAAAAAACCUAAGAUGGGGAGAGGAUUUUAAAAUUCAAAACCUUCGAAAUAGAUGAGUUUGAGGUUGUUAAUAUUAUUUUAUAUUGUUGAAUAGUAAAUUAAUUGUAUUGGUGGUUUAACCUAUUGGAUCGAGAAUUAAUGAUUUGAUUGAUUUGAGUUUGGGCUGCUCACUAUCUUGACUGCAUUUAUCAUUUAAUUCUUUUUUUAAUUAGCCAAACUCAUGUUAACAAUGGUAUAACAGUAAUUAAUGACUUCAUGGACUGAACAUCAAUAUAUAAAUACACAAACGUAGUGGCCCAAUAUUGCCCGGCCCGAUAAUAAAAAAUGAUAAAAUAAAUAAAGGUCCAAUGUCCAGCUUUUACAAACCCAAAAUCAAUACUGCCCAAUUAGCCUAAACCCAAUUAGGUUUAACCCAAACUCUAGCCUAGCCCAAAACCCAACUUAGCCCAAGACUCUCCCCAAACCCCGAAAACCCUAGCAGCAACGGGAGCCUCCUUCCAACGCGCAACCAUCAGGUGGCCUUCUCCACGCACACGCUGCCACGUACAUCUCCUUACGGCCACCUCCGUACCUCCAGGCUGGCCGAAUACCUGCAAAAAAAAAUGCACGGAAACAGCAGCAAAUAGAAAAACAACAGCAUAGGGGUGAAUUUUUAAUUAUUUUUUCAUUUUAUUUUCUGUAAAUCGGGCUAUAAGAAAGCGAUUCGAAUACUGUAACAGAUUUACGCAUUCAAUAUACAAAGAAAUUGAGAAUACAAAAGAAUCAAAAAAGCAGAGAAAGGUGAUUUUCUGGGUUUUUUAAUCCUUUCUAUCUUGUUGGUUACUUGAUUCUUUUUUUUUACUUUUUUAAAUUGUACGUUCAUCAAUCGUUGUUUAAAAAAGAAAUAGGAAAAAGAAAGGGAGGGAAACGUACCUGGUAGCGCGAUCCUGGCUCUCUCCGGCGUCAUCGGAGCAGGGGCUGGGAUCAAUGACUGCUCGAGUACCUUCAAUACCCAGAGCGGCGCUGAGUUUUUUUUUUUAGUUUAGGUUUUUCUUUUAAUUUAAUGAUAGGUUUUUAGGGUUUAUUUAGUUUUAAGCGAAGGAAUUAAAACGUCGACGUUAAAAGUCGAUGCAAUGACUUUGAAACGGCAUCGUUUUAGGGACCAGAUCCGAACGGUGACCCGAUCCAGGAAGGAUCCGUGCAUUAUGGAUCAUUUGGUCUAUUUGUUCAAUAGAUCCCUCUAUGUUUAAUGGAAUUGCGAUUUGAUUUCUUUUAAUUUUUUGUAAUUCGUACUGCAUAUUUUGUUCUAUUUUCAUUUAGAUCCAGAUUGAAACGGUAUCGUUUACUGCGUUUGACUUUGAUUAUUCUAAGCUUUUGGGUUUAAUUGCCGAUUCAGUCCUCCAAUUUUGAAAUAAAUUUUAAUUUAACAUGAGUUUAGCCUUUUUAAAAAAAAAAGAAAUCAAUAUCAUUUUUUAAUUAUAAUUAAUCCUAUUUUGGUACAUUAUAAAAUCUAACAUUAUUUGUAAUAUUUGAUUUUGAUGUUUUUAAAUCUACAUUUAUUAUAACCUAAGAUAUAAUAGAUCAUUGUUUUAGUUUAUAUCCUAUACUUUAAAUUUAUUAUAUAAUAAUAUUUUGUAUCUACCAUAUUUAUUUAAUUUUGUCUUUUCCUUUUGGUUCCAUUUUAAGUCCCGAUUUUAAAUUUAUUAAUAUUUUCAUUAUAAUUGUUGUUAUUACGCUUCUAAAUUGUUUUAUUAUAUUUCAUUUUGUCUUCAAAAAGUGUUUUUUAAAACAAAUUAAUUCUUAAUUUUAAUUCAUUUUCUAACAUUAUUUUGGUAUUUAGUAUGAUAUUAUUUUCAAAUUUAUUAUUAGUACAUUUUUUUAAAAUAAUACAUUAUUUUUUAAAUUAUUAUCAAUAUGUUUUAAUUUUAUCAAUAUUAUUUUAAAAAUAUAUAUGAUUUAUAUGAAAUUAUUCUAGUAUAUAUGUAUAUAGAUUACAUCAUUAACUUUAGAUUAACCUCUUUUACAUAAUUUUUUUAAAAUGUUUUAUUCCUUAAACCUUAUUUAUUUUAUUCAUUUUAUAGGUUGUUAAAUUAUUAAUAUGGAUGUUUGUAUGACAUGAUUAAGAUCAAUGUUUAUAUUUGCCUAUUAUUUGUUUAAUUGCUUCUAGUUUAAGUUUAAGUUGUUAUUUAUCUUUUAUAUAUCGUUAUUCAAUCAUGUUUCAUUUGUAAGAGUUGAAUUUUAUUAAAGCAUCAUAAUUCCUAAAAAAGCUUGGUGUUUAAUAGUUCUCGAGAGAAUUGUACCCUAACUUACUGGGCUUCAAUUCUUCUCGAUGAAUUUAUAUCAUCAAGUAUCCAUUUUAUACAAUUUUAAAAUAAAAUUCUUUAGAUUUCAAAAUGUGGGAUCCUAACUUACUGGAUACGACAUUUUGUUAUCUCGAUUUUAAAAUAAAGGCAAUAUUUGAUGUUUAAAAAUUUCAAGAAAUCGAACCCUAACUUACUGGAUUCUGAUUUCUCGAUUGACUUAAAUAGUCAAAUAUCCUUCUUAAAACAUGUUUAAAUUUUUUUAAAAAGGGACGAACUUAACUUCGAAGAUUGAACUGUUUCACUUUAACUCACUGAGUGUGGCGAUUUGUUUCUUUGACAUGGGUCCGUCCACUUAACCAAUUUAAUUAUUUAAGCUUUCAUUUCAUGGGAUCGUAUUUAAAAAUCUUUUCAAGUUUUGACACUAAGACAUUAAAUAACCAAUUCGGUACCAAUUUUGGGCGUUACGAGGGUGCUAACCCUUCCUCGUGCGUAACCGACUUUCGAACUUAUCUUCUCAAAAUUCGCAGACCAAAAAAAUUGUUUUCAAGGUGAUCCGAUCUCACCUCAACAAAAAUUGGUGGCGACUCCAAUUUUCAUUUUUUAAAGUCGACUACUAAUAAAUUUUUGUUUUCAAAAAAUGGUUUCGACAGCUUGGUGACUCCACUGGGGACUAUAAGAGAGUCAAGUUGAAAAAUUUAUUGUUUCCUAUCUUAUCGUCGAAAAUUAAAAAUUUGAUUUGAAAAAUUAUGAUCCUUUCUUUGCAUUUGUUUGUAUGAUUACUGUUUUAUACCUUGGCAUCAUAUUGCAUAAAGACUGUUUAGUCUUACCCUUUAAGUGGGAGUGAGAAGCUAUUCCUUCUUGAGGUUUUCACCUCCGUGCAGGAUAGUGAAUCACUUUCGCGAUACAUCCGUACCUAUGUCUUCGUGAUAUUUUCAUCUCCGUGCAGCCAUAGGGAAAUGUAUUCCCCCGAACCGAACUCGGUCUGUAUGAGCCUAUAAUGGGUGAAGAUCGAGGAAUCUGUUGGUUCGGGCACCUCAACUUUAGAACCAAACCCCAUAUAGUGGACUUAGAAGCUCAACCUAGUUAGAACUAUUCCAAUCUCUCGUGAUUGCCCAGAUAGAUGAUUGUGUUUCUUAUACUUGCUUUGAAUUUUUAUUUUUGUGUUGUACUGACUUGUUUAUGUUUUGUUGAUAUUGUUGCAUGUCACUGCAUAGUUCAAAGAGUGUCGAUUCAAGUUCAGUUACUAAAUUAGAAAACCGUCAUGGCAAACGAAUUUCUGGAUAAAGUGGAGGAUAACGCCAUUGUCUGUAUAUGGUCAGAGAAGGUGCAAUUGGAGAAAGGAGACAAUUUAUCUAAGGGAUAUGUGUCAGAGCUUUGGGACUACACUCGUAUUAGUGUGACACAAAAUAGCCUUCAGGAGUUAAAUGAGAUUUGGGAUCAGUGGAAUGAUGAAACCAAGUAGAUGUUCUACUCUAAUUAUGGGGACUUGCCGUACUUACUUAAAAUCAAGGUGGAUGAAAGACUAUUUCGCGCUCUCGCUCAAAAUUGGAAUCUUGCAUAUAGCUAUUUUACUUAUGGGAACGUAGAUUUGGUGCCCACAGUGGAGGAAUAUACAGCUUUACUACACUGCCCUAGGCUUCAGGUUGAUAAAGCAUAUUCUAGAGCCACAUAUGUCCCAGCGUUUUGGAAGAAAUUAAUGAGUAUUACCGGAAUGAGCAAACAAUGGAUCACGGCCAGGAUCAAACAGAAGGGCGAGUGUAAAUGUAUCCCAUAGAGGAAUUUGCGAGACUUGAUCCUAGCACAUCCUGACGGAAAAAAGAAGGUUGAUGUGUUUGCUUUGAGUAUCUACGGGUUAGUGAUUUUCCCUAGAGCAUUGGGCCAUGUUGACGAAGCGGUUUCAGAUCUUUUUGAUCGGUUGGGUAAAGGGGUCACGUCUGUUCUUGCGAUUUUGGCUGAAACGUUUAGAUCUUUGAAUACGUGUAGGCAAGCUGGUGAAGGUAGAUUUAUAGGUUGUGCACAAUUGUUGAUAGCUUGGUUCCAUAGUCAUUUCUAGAAGGUCGACAAAGUUUCGUAUCGGGUUUUCUCUAGGCAUUACUCCCUGUUAAAAGAGAUAGUGGCUACGCCAAGAAAGGACGAUAUUUCAGAAGAAAAUUGGAUAGCAAUUCUGCAAAAUCUUCAAGAGGAUGAUGUGGAGUGGAGAGCUCCUUGGUUGAUUCCUGAUGGAAUUCUCUACCGUUGUGGAAGCUUUGACUAGGUUCCGUUGCUUGGGAUUUGGGGAGCCGUUGGGUAUGCACCUUUGCUGGUCCUAAGGCAAUACAAUUCAAGACAGUUUGUGCCGGCAACGUAUGGUUUAGCUCAAUAUGAGUUCUCGUACCGAGGAGACAAUUACAAGAAAAAGGUGAAAGAAAUUUCUCAGGCUUGGAAUGAGGUUCACAGGAUGAAAAGGCUAGCUGUGGGUUUGAUGACAACUCCAGAGUACGAUGAGUGGCGACGUAAAAGAAUUAAUGAUAACAUUCUGGAGUUAAACUUGGAGGGUGUUCGACCAAUGGAAGAGUACCUACAAGUGAUCCCAUCAGAGUUGGAGAUUUUAAAACAAGAUUUUGAAAAGAGGAAUUUAGAACUUGAAAAGAAAAUAGAGCGGUUGGAAGAAGAGAAGAUUCAUUUGAGGCUAGACAUUAACGUCUAAAAGUUAGAAGCUGAAAAAUUAAAGAAGGGGAAGAAUAAAGUAGAGGAGGAUCUGGAUAGCUUAAAGACGGACUACAAAAGGCUACGAGUAUCAAUGAGAACUGCUGGGUUGGGAAAGACUUCAGAGCAGUGGCGACAGGAGAUCCAAGAAGAAAGAAACAUAGUCGAUCGGUGGGAAAGAAAGUCCUAGGAGGCUCAAGUUCAGAAAGAGACCUUAGAACGACAGGUGUUAGAAACUCAAAACUAUCAAGCGGACUUAAAAGCUAGAAUAGCGGAACUCAAGAGAUCACUUGCUGCGUAUAGAAGUCGUAAUUCUGUAGUGGAAUUAAAGACAAGUCUAUGCAAGAUUGAAGAAAUGAAAAAUAGGAUAGAAGAAUUGGAGUACACAUUACAAGGCUGUAGACAACGGAUCGAAUCCUUGGAAGGAAAUGAAGAGCGUUGGAGGGAGCAACUUUAUCAUUCGCAAAAUCAAAUUCAGAACAGAGGUUACAUUAUGGGCAGGGCUAUUGCUCAGAUUUGGGAGGUAGCUGAUCAUUUGCAAACAAUGGCAAUUCAGGCUGACGUGUUAAGCGUAAAGUAUGAACUGGAAUCAGAUCGAGGGCAGGAGUUAGCUUCGCUAUUGAAGGAAGCUUCGCUAUUGAAGGAAGUUAAAGCUUUGAGUAUUAGGGCAAAGCCAUACUUGUAAUUCAUUUUAUGUAAAGAAUUUUGUUUAUCAAUAAAGUUUUCUAAAGGAAAUUGGAUCAGAAUCGACGCUCUUUUUGCAUUCAUUUCAUGCAUUUGCAUUACAUGACAUCAUAUGCAUUCAAGACUAUUAAGAAGAGGUUUUAAUUGGUUAAAAUUGUGCUUCAGUUAAUUUGGAAACCAGCAAAAAUUCAUCAACCAAGCACCACUACGGUACCCGUGCGAAAUCAAAAAUUAUGGAUCAAAGAUUGGAAAAGCUUGAGCGCUUUCAAAAGGAAAUGCAAGAUCAAAUGAAAGAACAAAUGGAAAAGAUUCAACAUGACAUGAUACAAAAGAUGCAGGAGUCUCAAAAUGACAUGAUGACUAAGUUGACGCAAUUAAUAACCAGAGGAGUAGAUAAAGGGAAAGGUCCUGUGAUUUGUAAUGAAGAAGGAAACAAUGAUGAACCACUUCUUCCUCCAGGUUUUACGCCUCCGCACGCGCAAGUUCAGACUGAACCGCAUCCGCGGAGACCUUCUGUUUCGAGUAGGCCUCAGCAUUUUCAAGGGGAUGUUUCAAUACCGAAGAACUUUCAGGUCGGAUCUGGCUCUAAUCCUGGUGAUAAUUUGAAUAAUAUUGCUGUCCCGUAUUUCGAUGAAGUAGCUGAGAAGGAUAAGGUGAAAGAAGAGUUUCCAAAGCAGUUUGAGGAGAAAUAGAAAUGGAUUGAAGAGAAAUUUAGAGUGAUGGAAAGCAUUGAAAGCUAUCGUGGAAUAGAUGAAAAAGAUCUGAGUCUGGUUCCGAAUUUGGUACUUUCUUACAAGUUUAAGAUGUCAGAAUUUGAGAAAUACAGUAGGACCAGUUGCCCUGAGGCCCAUAUCACCAUGUUCUGUAGGAGAAUGACGGGGUAUAUUAAUAAUUACCAAUUAUUAAUACAUUGAUUUCAGAAUAGUCUUAUAGGGGCGGCGUCAAAAUGGUACAAUCAGCUGAGUCGAACCAAAAUCGCUACUUGGAGGGAUUUGGCAUAGGCUUUCAUGAGACAGUACAAUCAUGUAUCAGAAAUGACACCUAACCGAAUAACUUUGCAGAAUUUAGAGAAAAAAUCAAACGAAAGCUUCAGACAGUAUGCGCAGCGAUGGAGGGAAAUUGCAAUUCAGGUUCAGCCACCACUUGUGGAAAAGAGAAUGACAAUGCUUUUUAUCAAUACAUUGAAAGCCCCGUUCAUUACUCACAUGUUGGGAAGUGCUUCAAAGAACUUCUCGGAUAUAAUCAUGAACGGUGAAAUGAUUGAGAAUGCUAUUAAGAGUGGAAGAAUAGAUGGAGGGGAUAAUAAUAGAAGGACAGCCCCAAAGAAAAGAGAAAAUGAAGUGAGCAAUGUGAGCUGAUACGGUAGGUCAAUUACGGUGAAUCAACCAGGAAAGGUGGUUACUAAUCAAUAAAGCUCAUCAAGACAAGAAGUAGGAGGGAGGCAAAACACUAAAAAACCCCAGUUUACGCCAAUUCCGAUGUCAUACAAGGAGUUAUAUCAGAAUUUAUUUAAUGCAUAUGUUGUUUCCCCUCAUUACUUGACCCCUUUACAACCCCCUUAUCCCAAAUGGUACGAUAUAAAUGCACAAUGUGACUAUCAUGCGGGAAUCUCGGGGCAUUCAAUAGAGAAUUGCACGGCUUUCAAGAAGGUAGUGGAAAAACUCAUCAGGAUGGGUGUUGUCAAAUUUGAUGACUCACUUAACGCAAAAAAUCUGUUACCUAAUCAUGCUGAUAAGGGAGUAAAUAUGAUGGGCGAAAGUAUGGGAGAAAAAUUCAAGAAUGACAUCGGUGAAGUAAAAACUCCAUUGAAACAGGUCUGGAAAGAGAUGGUGAAAAGAGGGCUAGGCAUUUCAGAUUUUGGGGAAGAGGAUGAGGCUGAAAAAUAUUGUGAAUUCCACCGUGAAGUAGGACAUGAGAUUCAAGAAUGUGAAGAAUUUAAAGCUCUGGUCCAAAGCAUGAUGGAUAACAAGGAAAUAAAGUUCUAUGAGGAAACAGAGGAAGAAAGAAGCAUAUGCGCGUCGGAAUCAACAACGAAGAUUUCAAAAAUAAAUCAUCCUGUGGUCAUUAUUUCGCACCCUAAGAACAGUGAGGCUAGGGUCCAGGUAACGCCAAAAAUUGUAAUACAUAAGCUGUCAAAUUUCUCAUAUAAAGAUAGUAAAAUGGUUCCGUGGAAGUACGGAUGCAAUGUGACAAUCUCAACGUUUUUAUUUAUUUUAUUUUUAUUUUACAUUAAUUUUACCUAUGCUUUAAUUAAAAAAAUUAUAAUGACUUAGAGUUUAUUUAAUAGAGUUUUUUUUUAUAAUCGGUCUUAUAAUAAGAUUUUAUAAGGUGGGACCAAGUCCCACAGUGACAACAUGAUCCUUCAAUUUUUUGUGGUGGCAUGCCUUUAGUCAAAGGAUCAGCUAACAUCUGCUCAAUGCUAAUGUGCUCAAUGACCAAUUUCUUUUCUUUAACAUGUUCCCUUAUGCCUAGGUACUUAAAGUCAAUAUGUUUACUUCGACUUCCACUUCUUUCGUUCUUAGCCAUAAAGACAGCAGUUGAAUUGUCACAAUAUAUGAAAUAAUCAAAACCCAUAAUGACUCAGCCCAAAAAUCUCGAACUUCAAACCCAAAUUAAAUUAAAUCAAAACCAUAAUUUAUUAUGUACAAUUGCACAAAAUUAACAUAAUUUAAGUGUGUCAUAGUGCACAUUAAAUUAAAGUUUACGUUUGACAUUAUAGAUAAUAUUCACGUGUAAAAUUUUGAGAUUUAUUCCCUUAAUUAAUGUAAUAUGUUAAAUAGAAUACUUGAACAAUCCUCCAUGUUGGCAAAGUUUAUGUACAGUAGUAGAAGCGAACUAAAUAAUUAGAAUAAAUCUAAGGUAUGGCUUACAUAUAUUUUAUUCACAAUGUGACUUAAACUUUGUCCUUCAAGAUUUCACGGUCUCAAUUUAUGUCUUAAAAUUUUAAGAUCAUUUUAGGUUUGUUAAAAAAUUAAAAGUUUAGAAAGUUAGAAUUGUUGCUUGAGGCGUGAAUAUCCCUAUUCUUUAGGAUAUUUGCGGAUUUACCAUCUCUCAGGAUUUCGUUUGUAUCAUGCACAAUGAAAAAAUUGAAAAAAAAAAUUCCCAUUUGAAUGGAAUUGAGCUAUUAGGCUCAAGCCUCGUGUGCGCAUAUAUAUUCUCUUAUUUUGAGUCUUACAAGUUUAUAGUAAACCAAAUCUAUAUAAACAUCAUUUCAUUAGGUCAAUCUAAAAUAUGUUUAAUAUGUGUAAUUCUUUAAAAUAGAUGAAAACUUCAAAUAUGGUUUAGGUCAUUUUUAGAUUUCUCUUAUUUUAGGUUCAAAUCAUUCGAAUUUGAGGCUAAUUUUUUCAUGUGUAAUCAUUAUUGAUCCGAAUCAUUUUAGAUUUUGAUCAUUUUAAGUUCCAAUUAUUUUGUGAUCAAAUCAUUUCAAGUUUAGAUAAAUUUGGGUCGAUUUGAAUUUGACUUAAUUACGUAGUUAACUUUUUUUUUUAUAAUAAAUUGAGCUGAAUGAAAGUUAGAUUGGAAUUUAUUUAGUGUGCCUUUGUGUUUAAGUCAAAAUUUAAACAUCUCCCUUCGAAAUAAACAUGUUAAGACAAUUUUAUUUUAAAGACAAUAAUACAACAUAGUUGAUUUGGGAGAUAAACAUGUUAAUUUUUUAAUCCCAACCAAAAUUGUACAUAAUUCUUUUAUGUCAUAUUAAAUACAUGUAACGUCUUAUAAAAAUUGUCAAUAAAUUAUGCCUAGCGACAACGUUAUUCAACUCUUUUCAUUGUUAAUACCUAUUUCUAUUUUUCUUCUAAUGUCUUCAGCUUUAAAUAUAAAGGGAUUGAAAUUUUAAGAAUUGAGAUUUCUUUUCUCUGUAUUAGUGGACGUUUGAUUUUUUGUUUGAUUGUUUUUUUUACUGGAAUUGACACAUAUCUUUUCAGAUUUAUCAAUAUUUUUUAAAUUUAUUUAAGAUAUGUAUAUAAAUAUAUUACAAACGUAAUGGCCUAAUAUUGCCCGGCCCGAUAAUAAAAAAUGAUAAAAUAAAUAAAGGUCCAAUGUCCAGCUUUUACAAACCCAAAAUCAAUACGGCCCAAUUAGCCUAAACCCGAUUAGCUUUAACCCAAACUCUAGCCUAGCCCAAAACCCAACUUAGCCCAAGACUCUCCCGAAACCCCGAAAACCCUAGCAGCAACAGGAGCCUCCUUCCAGAGCCGCAACCAUCAGCUGGCCUUCUCCACGCACACGCUGCCACGCACAUCUCCAGACGGCCACCUCCGUACCUCCAGGUUGGCCGAAUACCUGCAAAAAAAAACGCACGGAAACAACAGCAAAUAGAAAAACAAUAGCAUAGGGGUGAAUUUUUAAUUAUUUUUUCAUUUUAUUUUCUGUAAAAGGGCUAUAAGAAAGGCAUUCGAAUACUGUAACGGGAUUUACGCAUUGAAUAUAUAAAGAGAUUGAGAAUACAAAAGAAUCAAAAAAGCAGAAAAAGGUGAUUUUCUGGGUUUUUUAUUCCUUUCUAUCUUGUUGGUUACUUGAUUCUUUUUUUUACUUUUUUAAUUUGUACGUUCAUCAAUCGUUGUUUAAAAAAAAUAGGAAAAAGAAAGGGAGGGAAACGAUCCUGGCUCUCUCCGGCGUCAUCGGAGUAGGGGCUGGGAUCAAUUACUGCUCGAGUACCUUCAAUACCCAAAGCGGCGCUGAGUUUUUUUUUUUCGUUUAGGUUUUUGUUUUAAUGUAAAGAUAAGUUUUUAGGGUUUAUUUAGUUUUAAGCGAAGGAAUUAAAAAUUCAACGUUUAAAGUCGAUGCAAUGACUUUGAAACAACGUCGUUUUAGGGACCAGAUCCAAACGGUGACCCGAUCCGGGAAGGAUGCAUGCAUUAUGGAUCAUUUGGUCUAUUUGUUCAAUAGAUCCCUCUAUGUUUAAUGGAAUUGCGAUUUGAUUUCUUUUAAUUGUUUGUAAUUCGUACUGCAUAUUUUGUUCUGUUUUCAUUUAGAUCCAGAUUGAAAUGGUAUCGUUUACUGCAUUUGACUUUGAUUAUUCUGAGCUUUUGGGUUUAAUUGCCGAUUCAGUCCUCCAAUUUUGAAAUAAAUUUUAAUUUAACAUGAGUUUAGCCUUAAAAAAAAAAAGAAGAAAUCAAUAGCAUUUUUUAAUUAUAAUUAAUCCUAUUUUCGUACAUUAUAAAAUCUAACAUUAUUUGUAAUAUUUGAUUUUGAUGUUUUUAAAUCUACAAUUAUUAUAACCUAAGAUAUAAUAGAUCAUUGUUUUAGUUUAUAUCCUAUACUUUAAAUUUAUUAUAUAAUAAUAUUUUGAAUCUACCAUAUUUAUUUAAUUUUGUCUUUUCCUUUUGGUUCCAUUUUUAGUCCCGAUUUUAAAUUUAUUAAUAUUUUCAUUAUAAUUGUUGUUAUUACUCUUCUAAAUUGUUUUACUAUAUUUAAUUUUGUCUUCAAAAAGUGUUUUUUAAAACAAAUUAAUUCUUAAUUUUAAUUCAUUUUCUAACAUUAUUUUGGUAUUUAGUAUGAUAUUAUUUUCAAUUUUAUUAUUAGUACAUUUUUUAAAAAUAAUACAUUAUUUUUUUAAAUUAUUAUCAAUAUGUUUUAAUUUUAUCAAUAUUAUUUUAAAUAUAUAUAUGAUUUAUAUGAAAUUAUUCUAGUAUAUAUGUAUAUAGAUUACAUCAUUAACUUUAGAUUAACCUUUUUUACAUAAUUUUUUUAAAAUGUUUUAUUCCUUAAACCUUAUUUAUUUUAUUUGUUUUAUAGGUUGUUAAAUUAUUAAUAUGGAUGUUUGUAUGACAUGAGUAAGAUCAAUGUUUAUAUUUUCCUAUUAUUUGUUUAAUUGCUUCUAGUUUAAGUUUAAGUUGUUAUUUAUCUUUUAUAUAUCGUUAUUCAAUCAUGUUUCAUUUGUAAGAGUUGAAUUUUAUUAAAGCAUCAUAAUUCCUAAAAAAGCUUGGUGUUUAAUAGUUCUCGAGAGAAUUGUGCCCUAACUUACUGGGCUUCAAUUCUUCUCGAUGAAUUUAUAUCAUCAAGUAUCCAUUUUAUACAAUUUUAAAAUAAAAUUCUUUAGAUUUCAAAAUGUGGGAUCCUAACUUACUGGAUACGACAUUUUGUUAUCUCGAUUUUAAAAUAAAGGCAAUAUUUGAUGUUUAAGAAUUUCGAGAAAUCGAACCCUAACUUACUAGAUUCUGAUUUCUCGAUUGACUUAAAUAGUCAAAUAUCCUUCUUAAAACAUGUUUAAAAUUUUCUAAAAAGGGACGAACUUAACUUCGAAGAUUGAACUGUUUCACUCUAACUCACUGAGUGUGGCGAUUUGUUUCUUUGAAAUGGGUCCGUCCACUUAACCAAUUCAAUUAUUUAAGCUUUCAUUUCAUGGGAUCGUAUUUAAAAAUCUUUUCAAGUUUCGACACUAAGACAUUAAAUAACCAAUUCGGUACCAAUUUUGAGCGUUACGAGGGUGCUAACCCUUCCUCGUGUGUAACCGACUUCCGAACUUAUCUUCUCAAAAUUCGCAGACAAAAAAAAUUAUUUUCAAGGUGAUCCGAUCACACCUCAACAAAAAUCGGUGGCGACUCCAAUUUUCUUUUUUUAAAGUCGACUACUAAUAAAUUUUUAUUUUCAAAAAAUGGUUUCAACAACAAAUAUAAAAUAAAUGAAACUAAAUACAUUUCAAAUAUAAAAUAUUCGUUAAUAAACUUAACAAAUAAAAAUUUAUCAUUGAAAUAAAUCCAAAAUUAUUAAUAACAAUCCAUCAUUUAAUAUGAAAUUUUAAAGAUUUAGCUCAUUUACUUAAUAAGAGAAGCUGAAAGGUGAACGAAUAUAUUUUUCUUUGAGAAUCAGGUGAACGGUUUUUUCUUAACUAUAUUUUGAAUGUGAAAGUAUAUUCCAUUUUUUAAAAAACUUUACAUUCCGAUGUAGCAUUUUUAAUUAGUCACGUUUCAAUUAAGUUUUUAGCAUAAUAGAAAAUAAUUAAAAGUUUAAUAUUUUUAAUAUUAUUCAUGCGCAGGACGGUGCACUAUGUUCUGGCAGGUGUGACUGGAAUUGAUCGGAAUGAGUUGGUGCAAUUGGUACGGACCGAAAUUUUUACCAGUGUAGAAAAAGGGUGUUGGGUGUUUCACAAUAUUAUUGAAAGCAAACCAAAAAGACCAAGAACCGAUGAACCCGAGAACUAGAGUAAACUGCAGUUAAACUACAAAUCAUCUGUCAAUUAAGUCGUAUUUUCACAUUUUUUUAAACCGGAAAAACAAAAAUUACACUUCAAAUCCCUUGAGCCAUUGUUAUACUUUUUCUCUGCACUCAAUGAAAUAAAACACAACAUAAAAAAAUAAGCACNNNNNNNNNNNNNNNNNNNNNNNNNNNNNNNNNNNNNNNNNNNNNNNNNNNNNNNNNNNNNNNNNNNNNNNNNNNNNNNNNNNNNNNNNNNNNNNNNNNNNNNNNNNNNNNNNNNNNNNNNNNNNNNNNNNNNNNNNNNNNNNNNNNNNNNNNNNNNNNNNNNNNNNNNNNNNNNNNNNNNNNNNNNNNNNNNNNNNNNNNNNNNNNNNNNNNNNNNNNNNNNNNNNNNNNNNNNNNNNNNNNNNNNNNNNNNNNNNNNNNNNNGGAUCUAAUUUUAAAAAUAUUAAUAUUUCGAUAUAAAAUUGAAACAGUGCACACAAAUUAGUAUAACCGAAAUCUGUACGAAACCGACCACCUUAAUUUAAUACAUAAUUUGACAUUCAUAUAAAAUAUUAUCUUGGAAAUAUACUGAAAGAGGAAACUAAUCGUAUGUAAAUGGAUAACUUGGAAGAGAUAAUGCAGCAGGAAUCAUUAUAUUAACAGUUGCAUCUUCUCGAUGUACGGCUGCUCACUAUCUGGACUGCAUUUAUCGUUUGAUUCUUUUCUUAAUUAGCCAAACUCAUGUUAACACUGGUAUAACAGUAAUUAAUUACUUCAUGGACAAAACAUCAAUAUAUAAAUACCCCAUAUAUAAUAAGCAACAACGUAUCAAAAUACACCAAAUAAUGGGAAUUGGAGAACGCCCAUUUAUACAAACAAAUGUAAGUGGGCAAAAUCAAUACUCAUAAUAAAGACACAAAGACGACUAAAAACCUUAUUAAACUAGAUCCAGUAUGCAGCAUAACAGAAAAGGGGGUAUUUCAAGGAGUAGAACGAGAAGGUGGUGGAGAAAAGAAAGCAAUAGAGGGAACUGCAGUUGGGAUUGAGGGAAUGUUUGGCAGAGGCGGCAGUCCUCUUGGCAAUGUGGCUGGAAGUGGAGGAAGCGCCCCAGGGUUUGGGAGAUUAGGGAAAGAUGGCAAUGGUGGAAAAGAGAAAGGAAUAGGGGGAACUGCAGUUGGGAUUGUGGGGACUGAGGGAAUGCUUGGCAGAGGGGGUAGUCCUGUUGGCAAUGUGGUAGGAAGUGGAGGAAGCGGCCCAGGCCAUGAGAAUGAUGGUCGGGAUGGCGUUGGGAGAUUAGGGAAAGAUGGUAAACUUUGCGGUUGAGGCUGCUGCAGAAGGUGACGAGCUGCUACCCCAACAUCAAUGCUUGCAAAUGACAAAGCAAUCAAGAAUGCUAAAGCAAGGCAAUUGAAAGAAGCCAUUUUUGUUCAGAGAUUUCGAAACAAAUGAAGCAGAUGAAACAAAGUUCUUUAUCUGAAUAGUUGUGAGUGAGGAAAGCAACGCAUGGUAUUGAGGUUUAUAUAGGAAUUGGAGCAGUAAAUAGAAAUCCCCUGCCCCUAAACAAUGCCCAAUGCAUGCCCCCAAACCAAAAUAGCGCCACAUGUUUUUUAUUUUUUCCAUUUUAAUUGUAGUUCAUUUUUUAAAUAAAAAAUUUAUAAUGAUUUGGAUGAAUUUUUAACUUAUUAUCAACGUUUUUGUUUUUGUUUUAUUUUCUAUUAAUUUUACGUAUUCUUUAAUUAACAAAUUUAUAAUGACUUGGAAUUAAUUUAACAAUAUUUUUUUUAUAAUCGUUCUUAUAAUAAAAUUUAAAAAGAUGGGAAUGAGUCCCACAAUGACAACAUGAUCCUUAAAUUUUGGGUGGUAGCAUGCCUUUAGUCAAAGGAUCUGAUAACAUCUGCUCAGUGUUAAUGUGCUCAAUGACGACUUUAUUUUCUUUAACAUGUUUCCUUAUGACUAGAUACUUAAAGUCGAUAUGUUUACUUCGACUUUCACUUUUUUCGCUCUUAGCCAUAAAGACAGCAAUUGAAUUGUCACAAUAUAUGAAAUAAUCGAAACCUAUAAUGACUCAGCUCAAAAAACUAGAGCCUCAAACCCAAAUUAAAUUAAAUCAAAAUCAUAAUUUAUUAUAUACAAUUGCAUAAAAUUAACAUAUUUUAAGUGUCAUAGUGCAUGUACAGCCCAAAUUUAGCCCGGGGCCCAAAACCUACCCAAACCCGAGAAACCAAUACAACCCAAAAACAGACUAAAAAACCUAAGCCCAAAAACCAGCCCAAUAAGCCCAAAUCUAACCCUAGCCCAGAAACCCAAAUCAGAGACAAAAAAUAAAAUUUUCAAACCCUAGGUGCGCCGCACCUAGGGUUCUCUGCCCUGUUGGCCACCGCAUGCUAGGACCUGCUGCCACCGCCCUUGUCCCAUCGCCUCUGACGCCUAGCCACUGCCACCGCCGCCUGCAGCACCAACUCCACUAUUCAACCCCUGCAAAAUGAAAACCAAACACGCAAAGCAGAAGCAAAAACAAUGCAAAAUAGUAGAAAAAAAUAGAUAAAAAAUGUAUUGUAAAUUGGCUAUAAAAGCCUGGAUCUCAGCCUUGUAAUCUUUCUUCUUCUUUUUUCACGAACGUUAGAAAAUAAAAACAAAAAAAAAAGUUUCAAGGUGAUUAUCUUUAUUAUUUUAGAUUUCGAUUUUUUUUAUUUUAUUUUCAUUUUAUCUUCUUAUUUUUAUGCACGAAAAUAAAAAAGAAAAGGAGAAAGAAACAUACCUGAAUCGGCCCUUAGAUCCGUCGUUAUCAGCCCUUCGGCGCCGUCGGAUUCGGGUUUAGGGAAGGGCUAAGACCUUUUUUUUUUCUCUCCUUGUUUCCUCAUUCUAAGAUUUUGGUCUUUGAACGCGUUUCAACGCACUGAUCGAGAACGCCCUCUUGCAACGCCGGCCGUCAGCCACGGCGGCGCAAGCGAUGGCCCUGUUGGCCGAAUUUGGAGGGAUCGAGAGAGAGGCUAAGAGCUCUCUUCUUCUUUUUUUCUGAAAAAUGAAGUUGGAAAUGUUUUUUUUUGUUUUUUUACUAUGUAUAUAGGGUAUAAAACGAUGCCGUUUUGGACCUUAACAUCGGUAGCCAAAACGACGUCGUUUUGCCCUGACCCGUGCGGUGACCCGACCCUGGGGGGAGGAUCCGCGUGUUUUCUUAAAAAGGGAUAUUUGAGCGUGCGGUCCCUCCGCUUUUGCAACGCAUUGCAAUUUGCCCCUUUUUCCUUCUUUUCUUUUAUUUCAAUUCAGCCGCAUAAUUUUAUUUUUGUUUCAUUUUAGUCCCACGUAAAGUGAUGCAUUUUGAAGGGCGGGAUAUUUCCUUUUUGGUCCCCCUCCUUUCACGCGCAUCACAAAUUAAUCCUUUGCCUAUUUUAUUUUUGAUUUCUCCCCUGGGAUUUUGUUUUGUUUUCAAUUUAGUCCCGUUAUUAUUAUUAUUUAUUAAACUAAUUAGUUUUAUUAUUAUUAUUAUUAUUAUUAUUAUUAUUAUUAUUAUUAUUAUUGCAUUUAUUAUUAUUACCUACCUUAUUAUUAUUAUUAUUUACCCAUUUAUACCGUUUUUAGAUUUUGUUAUAUAUAUAUAUAUACAUACUUACAUAUAUAUACAUACUUAUAUAUUUUUAAUUUUUAUAUAUGUACGUACUUAUAUUUUUUUAUAUACUUUAUAAUUUAUAUAUACAUAUAUACAUACAUAUUUUUAAUAUAUUUUUAAACAUAUAUAUACAUUAUCAUUAUUUACUUGUUUAUAUAUAUAUAUAUAUUUUAAACUUUGUUGUAUUUAUACACAUAUAUUUUUAUAUUUUUAUAAUUUUUUUUAUUUUCAUUAUUGCUAUUAUUGUUUUAUUCGACAUUUAUUUAUUUAUUUACAUGUCUAUUAUUAUUAUUAUCAUUAUUUUUUUAAUGUUUUAGUUUUUAUUUGUUUAUUACUUGUUAUUGUGUAUACAUGAUUGAUUUUUUUAUAUUUGUAUUCUUAUUUAUUUAUCUUUCUGUUUUUGCCCAUAUUAUUUUUACUUACAUUAUCAUAAUCGUUAUUCCAUUACAUCAAUUUUUACCCAGAUUCGUAAAAAAGAAAAUUUUGAAAAUAAAGGCAAUACUCAGUAUUUGGGAUUUUCGAGAGGAUUGAGCCCUAACGCAUUGGGUUCCAAUUUUCUUCGUUGAAUCUAAAUAAUCGAGAAUGCUCUUUAAUCAAAAAACAUAAAUAAAAAGUUCAUUAUCGAGAAUUCAAUACGUUGUGUCCUAACGCAUUGGAUAUGACACGUUCUUUUCUCGAAAUAAGGAUUUUCUAAAAAAUAAUAAAGGCAAUAUUCAAUGUUUAGAAUUUGAGAAAUUGUGCCUUAACAUAUUGGGUUGCGAUUUUUUCAUCUGACUUAAACAAUUGAAUAUCCUUUUAAAUUUUAUUGCACGAGUUUUUUGGGCAAACUCAUUCUUGAGGAGGUAAAAUAUCAUGCCCUAACUCAUUAGGUGUGACAUUUUCUCUCUCCGAAAUGAGAGGGUCUUAACGGUAAUUUGAUUUAUACAAGUUUUUUUAAUAAAUAAUCGUAUUUUAAAUCUCUUUAAAGUUUCUAAUUCUCGACACUAAGACACUAAAUAAUCAACUACGUACCAAUCUUGGGCGUUACGAGGGUGCUAAUCCUUCCUCGCACGUAAUCGACUCCCGAACCCAUUUUUCUGAAUUUCGUGGACCAAGAUCGUUGUUUUAAUAAACUCAAAUCGUUUAUUAAAAACAACCACUUUUUAAGGUGGCCCAAUCACACCUCAUCAAAAAAGAUUUGUGGCGACUCCCAUUUUCGUUUUCAUUUUCAAAACCCAAGUCGACCCCAUUUUCACAAAAAAAUGGUGUCAACAGUGCACAUUAAAUUAAAGAUUAUGUUUGACAUUAUAGAUUGAAGCAAUAUUCAUGUGUAAAAUUUUGAGAUUUAUUUCCUUAAUUAAAGUAAUAUUUCAAAUAGAAUACUUAAACAAUCCUCCAUGUUGGCAAACUUUAUGUACAUUAGAAACGAACUAAAUAAUUAGAAUAAAUCUAAAGUAUGGCUUACAUUUAGUUUAUUCACAAUGUGACUUAAACUUUGGCCUUCAAGAUUUCACGGUCUCAAAUUAUGUCUUAAAAUUUUAAGAUCAUUUUAGCUUUGAUAAAAAAAAUCAAAAGUUUAGAAAGUUAGGAUUGUUGCUUGAGGCGUGAAUAUCCCUAGUCUUUAGGAUAUUCAUGGAUUUACUAUCUUUCAAGAUUUAAUUUGUAUCAUGCACAAUGAAAAAAUUGAAAAAAAAAUUCCCAUUUGAAUGGAAUUGAGCUAUUAGGCUCAAGCCUCGUGUGCGCAUAUAUAUUCUCUUAUUUUGAGUCUUACAAGUUUAUAAUAAACCAAAUCUAUAUAAACAUCAUUUAAUAAGUGUAUCUAAAAUAUGUUUAAUAUGUGUAAUUCUUUAAAAUACAUGAAAACUUCAAAUAUGGUUUAGGUCAUUUUCAGAUUUGUCUUAUUUUAGGUUCAAAUCAUUCGAAUUUGAGGCUAUGUUUUUCAUGUCUAAUCAUUAUUGAUCCGAAUCAUUUUAAAUUUUGAUCAGUUUAAGUUCCAAUUAUUUUGUGAUCAAAUCAUUUUAAGUUUAGAUAAAUUUGGGUCAAUUCGAAUUUGACUUAAUUACGUAAUUACCUUUUUUUAUAAUAAAUUGAGCUGAAUGAAAUUUAGAUUGGAAUUUAUUUAGUGUGCCUUUGUGUUUAAGUUGAAAUUUAAACAUCUGUAUUGGAAAUACACAUGUUAAUACAAUUUUAUGUUAAAGACAAUAAUACGACAGAGUUGAUUUGGGAGAUAAACAUGUUAAUUUUUUUAAUCCCAACCAAAAUUGUACAUAAUUCUUUUAUGUCAUAUUAAAUACAUGUAUAAAAAUUGUCAAUAAAUUAUGCCUAGCGACAACGUUAUUCAAAUCUAAUUUCAUUGUUAAUACCUAUUUCUAUUUUUCUUCUAUUGUCUUCAACUUUAAAUAUGAAGGAAUUGAAAUUUUAAGAAUUGAGAUUUCUUUUCUUUGUAUUAGUGGACGUUUGAUUUUUUUUACUAGAAUUGAUGCAUAUCUUUUCAGAUUUAUCAAUAUUUUUUAAAAUUAUUUAAGAUAUGUAUAUGAAUAUAUUACAAAUAUAAAAUGCAUGAUACUAAAUACAUUUCAAAUUUAAAAUAUUCAUUAAUAAACUUAAUAAAUAAAAAAUUAUCAUUCAAAUAAAUCCAAAAUUAUUAAUAAUAAUCCAUCAUUUAAUAUGAAAUUUUAAGGAUUUAGCUCAUUUACUUAAUAAAAGAAGCUGAAAGGUGAACGGAUAUUUUUUUAUUUGAUGAUCGGGUGAAUGGUUUUUUCUUAAUUAUAUUUUGAAUGUGAAAGUAUAUUCCAUUUUUUUUUAAAAAUUUACAUUCCGAUGUAGAAUUUUUAAUUAGUCAAAUUUCAAUUAAGUUUUUAGCAUAAUAGUAAAUUAUUAAAAGUUUAAUGUUUUUAAUAUUAUUCAUGCACAGGACGGUGCACUAUGUUCUGGCAGGUGUGACUGGAAUUGAUCGGAAUGAGUUGGUGCAAUUGGUACAGACCAAAAUUUUUAACAGUGUAGAAAAAUGGUGUUGGGUGUUUCGCAAUGUUAUUGAAACCAAACCAAACAGACCAAGAACCGAUGAACCCGAGAACUAGAAUAAACUGCAGUUAAAUUGCAAAUCAUCAGCUGAUUAAGCCGUAUUUUCAAAUUUUCUAGAUUGAAAAAACAAAAUUUCACUUCAAAUCCCUUGAGCUUCUGUUACACUUCUUCUCUUAACUCAAUGAAAUAAAACAAACCAUAAAAAGAAUAAGCACCGUUUCUUUUAUUACUUUUUCUAUUAAAAUAUUUUUUUUCUCGUGAAAAACCUGGGCUUAUAACAUUCAAUCAAAGGAAAAAAAGGACAAAUUAGGAAAGAUGAAAGAUGGGGAGAGGGUUUUAAAAUUUAAAGCCUUCAAAAUAGAUGAGUUUAGGGUUAUUAAUAUUAUUUUAUAUUGUUCAGUAAAAAAUUAAUUGUAUCGGUGGUUGAACGUGUGAGAUCAAGAAUUGAUUAUUUGAUUAAUUUGAUUAUCGAUCUAAUUUUAAAAAUAUUAAUAAUUCGAUACAAAAUUAAUAUAGUGCAGACAAAUUAAUAUAACAGAAAAUUGUACGAAACCGAGCACCUUAAUUUAAUACAUAAUUUGACAUUCAUAUAAAAUAUUAUCUUGGAAAUAUAUUGAAAGAAGAAAGUAAUCGUAUGUAAAUGGAUAACUUGGAAGAGAUGAUGAAGCAGGAAUCAUUAUAUUAAAAGUGGCAUUUUCUCGAUGUACGGCUGCUCACUAUUUUGACUGCAUUUAUCGUUUGAUUCUUUUCUUAAUUAGCCAAACUCAUGUUAACAAUGGUAUAACAGUAAGUAAUUACUUCAUGGACAGAACAUCAAUAUAUAAAUACCCCACAUAUAAUAAGCAACAACGUAUCAAAAUACACCAAAUAAUGGGAAUUGGAGAACGCCCAUUUAUACAAACAUAUAUAAGUGGGCAAAAUCAAUACUCAUAAUAAAGACACAAAGACGACUAAAAACCUUAUUAAACUAGAUCCAGUAUGCAGCAUAACAGAAAAGGGGGUAUUUCAAGGAGUAGAACGAGAAGGUGGUGGAGAAAAGAAAGGAAUAGAGGGAACUGCAGUUGGGAUUGAGGGAAUACUUGGCAGAGGCGGCAGUCCUCUUGGCAAUGUGGUAGGAAGUGGAGGAAGCGCCCCAGGGUUUGGGAGAUUAGGGAAAGAUGGCAAUGGUGGAAAAGAGAAAGGAAUAGGGGGAACUGCAGUUGGGAUUGUGGGGACUGAGGGAAUGCUUGGCAGAGGGGGUAGUCCUGUUGGCAAUGUGGUAGGAAGUGGAGGAAGCGCCCCAGGCCAUGGGAAUGAUUGUCGGGAUGGCGUUGGGAGAUUAGGGAAAGAUGGUAAACUUUGCGGUUGAGGCUGCUGCAGAAGGUGACGAGCUGCUAGCCCAACAUCAAUGCUUGCAAAUGACAAAGCAAUCAAGAAUGCUAAAGCAAGGCAAUUGAAAGAGGCCAUUUUUGUUCAGAGAUUUCGAAACAAAUGAAGCAGAUGAAACAAAGUUCUUUAUCUGAAUAG
This 77568-nucleotide long non-coding RNA is filed under the name Gossypium raimondii (Peruvian cotton). Its description in RNAcentral is "long non-coding RNA (GRAI_LNC010293)". The record is from RNAcentral. Lineage: Eukaryota; Viridiplantae; Streptophyta; Magnoliopsida; Malvales; Malvaceae.